This 59629-nucleotide long non-coding RNA is filed under the name Citrus sinensis (sweet orange). RNAcentral describes it as "long non-coding RNA (CSIN_LNC002652)". The record is from RNAcentral. Lineage: Eukaryota; Viridiplantae; Streptophyta; Magnoliopsida; Sapindales; Rutaceae.
CGGCGUGGUGAUUGAGGCUCGCCAGCCGAGAUCCAAACGGGACGCCGGAGAUGUCGUAUUGAAUGAGACGAUAGACGUCGACAACGGUGGCGGCGUCACAGAGCUCGACGCAAGCGACAAGUAUGAAGACGAGGGCUAGCAUCGAGUAGACGGAGUCCAGCAUGUCGCGCUCUCGAGCUUUUCGAUGAGCCAUUUGUGAAUUUUGAUCUAGGGUUAAUAAAAGGUAACGAGAUUGUUUCUUAAAUCGGUGAAUAAAUAUUAUGGCUCCUUUCGAUUUGAUCUGGUGAUUAUAAUAAUUAAAAUAGAAAAUUAAUUGCGAUCAGAGAGACACUUGACAGAGAGUGUUUUGUUUCCUUUUUGUUUUGUUUGGUUAAUAACAGUGCGACUCACUCUUACUGAGAUUCCGAUGCUUGUUGCUCUAUAAUUUUCUCACGUUAAUUUGGAGACGUCACUUGUUCGUUGGAUUCACACUUCAUUUUAUUUAUUUAAAUUUUACAGUAUACGGGUGAUCUAGUGGGCGUUACGUUGUGGACUUGUUGCGAAAAACGCCUCAAAGUGAAGAAGGUCCAAUGUCCAAACAAGGGGAACUGAAGAUUUUGGCUCUAAAGGGCUUUCGUAUUGCUCGAUUUUACAAGUUAUCUGUUAUUGUAUUUGUUGGAAGUACCAAAUAUAAUUGAGGGAGAUAAUUCAAAAGAGUUAAUUUAUUAUAUAGCUCGCACGGGUUAAUUGCACAUCAGCAUUUGAUGAAGUUAAGCCCAGGCAUCUCUACUGCACUUUCUUCUCUUUAAGAGUUCAGUAGGAUCACAGUAGAUCAAUGAAGUGUCUUUUUUCUUUUUUUUAGAAAUUAUCAUUCAUAUGUCUUAAAUUUAUUAUAUUAUUAAAAAUAUUAUAACACUUUAAGGGUGUAUCAAUCGUCCACUUUAAGUUGACAAAAAUUAUCUGUCAACCAUUAAUCCGUUAGUUGCCGUUUGUAAGUGCUGACAUCAUAAGGGUAAUCUAAUCUUUUAAGAUAAAAGAAACUCCUAUAAAGAAUGACAUGUUGUUCUAUAUAAAACUACAUGUCAUCCCAUAUAAAACAAUAUGUCAUCCUAUGUAGAACGAUAAAAAGGACAUGUCGUUUCUAGAUCAGUGAAACGACAUCGUUUCACAAUAUGAAAUGGCAUCAUUUCACUAGAACUUUAAAAAAAAAAAGGUGUGGACAGAGGGGAUGCAGUGUAGGACCAACGAGGGCUCAAGCCCCCACUGAAAAAAAAAGAAAAAAGAAUUACCCCUUUUUGUUUAAAAGAAAAAUUAAUAAUUUUUUAAAUAAUCCAUGUCAAAUUAUCAAAUAGCCUCAUUCUUCCAGUUUCUACAGCCACAGUAGAGAGAACAUUUUCAGCAAUGAAAUUUGUGAAGAAUGAACUUCGGAAUCGGAUGGGAGAUGAAUGGAUAAAUGAUAAUUCGAUUGUUUAUGUAGAAAAAUAUGUAUUUAAUAGUGUUGAUAAUGAGUCUAUUGCACAACGUUUUCAGAAUAUGAAAUCGCGUAGAGAACAAUUGUAAAUGUGUUAUCAAAAAUUUUAUAUAUUCAAGUUUCAGUUUUUAUAUUUUGCUGUUAUUUAAUUUAGCCAUUGGUGAAUUAUUUUUCUAAAUCCGCCACUGGGUGUGGAGAUGUGAUUAACUGAUUUUGGGGACUAAAGUGAAAUCAAGUGAGAGUUGUGUGGUUCAUUGUGCAGAUUGCAUUCAGUUGAAGGAUGUGUUUGUAAAUAUCUGCUGACGUGGCCUGAUUGUUAAAGUUCGUUAUAUGGUUUCUGGAAAUUUUCCAGGUGAAGCUGGCUUGUAGCAUCUUAUAUAUAAGCUCUUUCUCACUCAUUUCUUCUCCAAUUAGAAUAAUUAUUCUACACACAUAAUUCUUGUAAUCUUCUCUUCAUUUAUGAUUGACUUUGUACUCAGUUUUAAUGAAUGAAAGAGUGUGAAUUUUUCCUUCAAAUCUGUUAUCUAGUUCUCUGAAAUCUUGUUCUGUUUUUCUGCUCUUUACUCCGAUCUUUAUCAAUCUUGUUUCAAUUCCAUCUUGAUUAAUUAAAUGUUGAAGUGUUGAGUUAGUUCUUGUAAUUAGCCAUUCCAAAAUAUAACAAAAAACAAUCAAAUUGAAACACGCACAGCACACACGACUACGAACAAAUCUCUUCUUCUUUCACACACACAAUGCAAAAGAAAAGUGGUAGCUGACAGCACUAAUGAUCGAAGACGGCACGGUAGACAUAGAGGCAGCCCAUAGUCACCAAUGCAGCCACAACCAUUGUCAUCGACGCAGCUCGCAGCUCACCCAUCGGAUCUGCUGUUUUGCGACUGGUUUAAGCUUUAACCUCAAUUUGACUGAAUUUGAGUUAAGUAUAAGACGCACAUGAACUUCUUGCAUGAGAUGGUGACAGUAUUUACAAAGUGUCCGCAUUAAUUUGGUUUUUAAGAAUUCUUUCCUUUAUUGUUUCUUACAGUAUUUGGAGUUAUACUUGGUUGCACUUGAAAAUCUUGUUAAGUUAGUGUAGUAUGUGAUCCUACCCAUUUUACCCUUCAAUAUAUUCUCAGGAUGCUGUAGUUCGCAUAUGCACAUAGUGAGGGAUUCCUCUAUUUAUAAUUAAAAAAUUCCUAAUUUUUUCUUUCAAGCAAGUUCAAUAACGUUUUCGUUUCGUGACUGAACUUUUGAACAAGAGCAGCAGCCUUAUGCACAAACCUGGCGGGAACAAGCUGGGAAUAAGAGGAACCAAUAUGCAUACAAAUGAAUAAACACUAGUACUGUUAGUAGUUUGAGGGCUUCAUGUCUUGACAAUUUCUAUUCAUUGUCUACUUAGCCUACCAAUUAGACCAAAGUUAAUCGCAUGGGCCAAUGAAAUCUCUUGACCAACAAAAUAAGAAAGUCUCUGCUGGAUCAGAAAGUCUCUGCUGGACCAGCAGCACAAUUUUUUUGUACAAUAUCUUUGAUUCGCAAAACGAAUAACUCAAUUUCAAAUUAAAUAAAUGGAAAGUGAAGAAACGUAAUUUGUUGUCCUUGCACAAAGUAUUUUAGGCGUCGUGAAAACUAUAAAGAAAUUUUUUUAUAGAGAAAAAUUUUCAGACAGGCAUUAAAAAAAUUAAAUCUAGAAUGAAGAUACUUUGGCCUGUGGAUUUUAACAUAUUUUUUAAAAUGUAAAAAAAAGAGAAGUGGAAAGUGUAAUUUAGCUAAUUAAGAUACUUACAACUUGCUAUUGGAUCUCUGACAUUUAAUAUAUAGUUGUAUGAAGUUUCUUUUUAUUAGAACUGUUACGUUUUAUUUAUCAGAAAAUUUUGUUACCCCCUAAUUUACAGUAUUUCAUUUUAACCAUCUAACAAUUUUUUUUUUUUUUAACCACUGCUCUCGUCCUUUCUUUCUUCCACUUUUUUUUUUUUCUAUUUCUUUUUCUAUUCUUCUUUAUCUAUUUUGCCUCUCUAUAAUUUCUCUCGACCUCAAUUUCUAUUUAUUUCCCUCUUCUAUCAUUUCUAGUUUGCUCUCAGGCUCUCCAUUUUCCUCCCGAGGUUAGUUUCUUGCCGAAAGGGAUAGGUGUUGUCUUAUAUACUUUUUUAGUUCUACAAUUAUGAAUUAAUUACGUUGAAUCUAAUUUCUCAUAAUUAUCCUGGCAUAUUUCUGUUAUCAGAAAAAAAAAAUUGACAGCUAAAAUUAAAGACUAAAAAUAUAAAUAAAAAAUCAUUUCAGUAUUACCUAUUUAUUAAUAAUUUUGUUAACCGAUAAUUUAAUAUAAAAUUUUCUACAAAAAUAUGGGUGUUUAAAGAAAUUUUGUGGGCUUAAAUAACCCCACUUUAAUGAAAAUAAUUUCGUGGACCAUUUUAUGUUUUACAUAAACAAAUCUUUGUUACUUAAUUUUUUUUCUCUCUUUCAUUUUGAAUAUUUUUCCCCGUUAUUUUAAAUGGGCUCAUAGAAGAGAAUUGUGCAGUCUACAUGAUUUUCAUUAGAAUUUUAUUUGUCUUUUAAAGUAAUUUCAUAUGUGGUUUAAGUUGUAAGAACCAAAAAAAACAGGGGUCUUAAUAAGGAUUAUUGAAGGCCCAAUAGUGCUACUCAAAAUGAAAAAAUAAAAAAUAAAAAGUGUAUCGCUCUUGCAACCGAAUCUUGAAUAAUCACGGAUUGAUUGUUUUAAAACUUCUCCAUAGAGUUCAAAAUUUAACAGUGAGAACUAUAACAACUAAAUUUUCAAAAUUUAUAAAUCUAUUACCCUCUAAUUUACGAUGUUAUUAUAACCAUCCAAUACAUAUUUUGAUAACUUCUUUUUUUCCUCUUUGUCUCUCGGUCUUUAUUUCUUUCAUUUUAAUUUUUUCCUUUCCUUCUCUAUCUAUUUUACUCUUUAUAAUUUCUGUCGACCUCAAUUUCUACUUUCUUCCUCUUUUAUCUUUUCUAAGUUGCUCUCAGUCUCUCGAUUCUUUUGAAUGCUUGAAAAUGAAAUAAAUUUCCAUUUUUUUGAUACGCAAUCAAACAGGAAAACAGGUCGUCAAUUCGCAUGAAGUAGGUAGCUAAAUUUAUUUUCCUCCAAAAUUAUCCACGAGUUCGACUUAUAUUAAUGUGUCACAAUCUUCCAAUCUAAUAAUGCAAAUUGAAAGUUCCGAUGAUAUUUUUAUGAUUAACUUGGGGAAAAAAAAAUCUUGAGAGUCUCCACUCGUUUGAUUCUGACUCUUCCAUGGAUUCUUUGCUUUGCAAACUUUUCUUAAUUGUAUGGUUAAAAGAUUAACAGUUAGGAGUGAUAAAAGAACUUAUGUCUGUACUAAAAGCUAAAGAUGAGAUUAUUUGAAACCACUAAAUUGUUUUUUACACCCAUCAUAAAAAUAUAAUAAUUAUUAAAAUUUUAAAAUCUUAAAAUUGCCCAUUAAUUUUCUUCUCUUUCUUACAGUGCUUGUUCUCCCUCAACAUCACUUUUUGCAAAUUAAAAACUUAUGGUUUCACUCUCUUUGGCCAUGGAUUUUUUUUUUUCAUAAAUUCCACUACAUUUUAUUUGUGGCAUUUGAAUUGCGAUUUUUUAAUUUUAUUUUCAAUUUGAAGCAAAGAUUUGUAACUUUACACAGAUUUAUAGGAAAACAAAAAAUUUGUUGCUUUCGUGGUUACUUAAAAUUCUUGAUACUCAUUUUUGGAUGGUGGAUUUGUUCCUAUAAAUUGAAGAAAGAGUAGUUAUUAACUUAUUAUUAUUAAGCUGUUGGUCAAAGAGCUUUUGAAUAAGAUCAGUGAGCCAAAUGGUUUGCUGAGUUUAGUAAUUCAGCCUCUAAAAUUUCUAAGCGAAGCAUGCAAACCCCUUUGGCCCUGAGAACCCUAGUCUUGAAGCGGUUCGAGCCACUAAGCCUUGAUUUGACAUUGGUUAUAGCCUAUAGGAAAAUUAAUUUCAAUUAUUUAUGAGAUUUCACAUUCAUUUGUAGACGAGAAAAUCGAAAGAAUUGAUUAGAGCUGAGAGAGAGAGAGAGAGAAUAGAGGUUAAUUAGGUAAUUUUAUCAAAAUUAAUUUGAUAAUUAAUAUUUUAAUUAAACAAGAAGGCAAAGAGAAGAAAUUGGUGAGUUUAAAUAACUCCACUCAAGGCUAAAACAUAAAUUCUCGAACGUCAAAAAAUAUUUUUACCCUCUAAUUUACAUUAUUUCAUUUUAAUCCUCUAAUGCAUUUUUGUUCUCUAGUCUUUUUAUUUAUUUUUAUCUCUUUUCUCGGCCUUUUUUUCUUCCAUUUUAAUUUUUCUAGCUUGUUCUUUUCCGAUUCUUCUUUAUCUAUUUUACUCUCUAUUUCUCGGGACCUCAAUUUCUAUAUUCUUCGUUUUCUACAGUUCCGAGUUUGCUCUCAGUCCCUGGAUUCUUGAAUGAUUGAUAAAAUGAAACAAAUUUUUGUUUUUUUUUCCCACUCAAUCAAACAAGCAAACAGGUCACCAACUCUUCCCAUGAAGCAGGCAACUAAGUCACGUUAUGUGAUUUAGUGAUAAAUGCCUAGUACUUCAGGCUAAUUGCAAGUCCACUUACGGAACCAUAGCAGUCAAUGACACGGAAAUUUCAAAUGAUGGUCCAGAAUUCGAAAUGAUCGGGCACGGAAAAAUUGCCAAAAGGCAAAAGGUGUGGUCAUAAAUACAUUUCAAUUUUAAAUUAAUUAGAUUGGAAAUAUCGUAUGAAUAAACAGCGGACCUUAUAGCAACCAAUAUGAUAUCAUUCUCUUAUGCACAUUUCGUUUUCUUAUGCAUGUUUGCUGCUUUGCCAUAUCAUGCCAAAAUCAAGAAAUUACCCAUUUGUAAAUCUUUGACAUAAGAAUUAGUUAAAUAAAAAUAUAAAAUAAUAAAAAUAUAAAAUAAUAAAAAUAAGUUUGGUGAUGUAUUCAUUUAACCACUCAUAUAAUGUCACAUCAAUUGGUAGUUUGGUACAAAAAAAUUAAUAGUUAUAACAUUGCCCGUUUGCUUUAUUCAAUCACAAUUUUCAUACCACAUCACUUUAUAGUUUGUGCGUAUUUAUGCAAAGUUUCUUUUUUUCAACCAAGUUUCUUUUUUCAACCCCCUGAUUACUUUAAUUCAAAAAAAAGAAGCUUGGAUUAGUUUAAUUUUCUGUGUUGGGCGCUAUUUGAACUUAUUUAUACGACUUUUAUGUGUUAACUCUCUUUAUAUGGACAUGUGUAUUAUGGGUGAUGAUGUCCACCCCACUUUUAGAAAAUAAUUACAAAAAGUUUUCAUUAUUUUUAAAAAUUUCAAAUAAAGAAGAAUUCAAAAGAAUUAAUCAAUUAAAUCUAUCUUAAUUUAUUUUGUUGUAACUUAGUUUUUUUUAUAUGGGACUAAUAAGAUUACUUAAACCUAAAUUUAAAUUGACUAUUUUUAAUUAAACUGGCAUAAUGUCUUUAUGAGAAAAUACUCAUUAAAUUAUUAGGCUGUCAAAUUUAUGUCAUUUACAUGUAAAAUGUUGAAAAUUAUUAGGCUUCAUUUAAGAAGCUAGAUUAUAAGUCACAAAAUUAAGUAUCUAAAGUAUUAGAUACAAGAACAAAUUUUUUUUUGGCCCAAUGGGUCAUUUUAUGUCAUAAAGCAAAAUAAUUAAAUAGAACUUAUAUUAAAGCUCCUUUAAUGGUAAAAAACAACUAAGAAAAAAAAUAUAAGAACGAUUUAAUUGAUUAAUUACAUUAUUUUUUUUGUUGAUUUUUAUUUAUUAGAAAAAUGUGUAUUUAUUAUAAAUAUUUUUUAGAAGUGGGAUGGGUUUAUACAAAUAAUUGGGUGGAAAUAUCCCACCCUUGUACUAUGUUGUAUAUAAUAUAUGGCCCCUCCAAAAUCAUCUUAAAAUUUUUUUCCAAUUAUAUUGCCUUUAAUGCCAAAAAUACAUUUUUUUUUAAAUAAUCUCCUUUUUCAAAUAUGCUCUCUCAACAAAAAUAAAAAACACUAGCUUCCAAAAUUAAAAAUAAUCAAAUUUAAAAAAGAAAACAAGUUUGAGCAAAUUAACUGUAUAGAUGAGACUACAAGAGAGAGAGAGAGAGAAACAAAUUUGAUUCAAUUGGUUUUGUGCUAGUAAGGGAACUAAAACUGAAUUUUAUUGGCUUUUCUUGAGUUGCAGCAAAUGAUUCAACCUUGGCAAAUCUUUCUUUUGACUAUAAUACCAUUAGUAAAUAGUAAUUAAAAAAAUUAGCUUUAAUUUUUUUAAUAAAUAUAAAUAUAAUUUAAAUAGUUUAACUUGUCUAUUAGUCAAAUAAUAUUAAAAUUUUUUAAUAUACAAAAUAAUUUUCAACAUAUAAAUUAUGAUAUAUUUGAAUCAUAAUUUGUAUUUAUUAUAGAAGUUCUAAAUAUAUCUUUGGUUAAAUAAAUUUUACAAUUAAUAAAAUGUAUCUAAUUUAUUAACAAUAUUAAAAUUAUUUUAUAAAAUAUUGAAAAUAACUUAAAUUUUGAUUUAUUUAUUUUAAUAUUAUGCUUCUAUUUAUUUGGCUUAAUAUAUUAUAAGAUUGUAAAGUAUUCAAAUAUUUUUUAAAUAUUGAAAUUAUUUUAAAUGUAUAUAUUAUACAUUUACUUUAAUAUUAUUCUUCAAUUUAUAAUGAAACAUUGGAGUUAAUUUUUUUGAGUUAAUAGAGCACCUUAGUCAAAAUGAAGUCUUGGUAUCCUUAUUGAAAAUAUGAAGGUUAGUAUGACCAUUUCUUAAAAUCUUAAACGAGUAGGUGCCUUUUUCCUAAAUGUAAUUAUAAUAAAAUAAGAGUUUUAGAAUAAUUUUAGAGGGUCUUAAUAAUUCCACUCGUUUGCCAUUAUAAAAGAGUAGAAUGUUUAAAAAAAAAAAUGGUGAAUCAUUCUCAAACUUUAUAAAUCUAUUAUCCUCUAAUUUAUUUACCGGAUAUGAUUAUCAGUCAAACAAGCAAACAGUUUAUCAAUCUGCACGACGUAGACAGCUAAAUUGAUUUUCCUCGAAAAUUUUCCAGGAGUCCGCGGAGCUUAUGUUAAAUGUGACACAAUCUUUCAAUCUAAUAAUGCAAUUUGAAAGUCCACCUGCCUGGGGGACCAACCCCAAGCAGUUAAUUAAUGACUUUGAAGAUUUGAUGUUUGAAAGUGAUGAGCACGGAGAUUUCUUGCAGAGAAAGUGAGGUCAUUAAUAAUUUUCAAAUAUACUAUUCCAAGUUGAUUAUAUAUGGGCAAACAGAGGAUGACAAUAUAAAUAUCAAGCAAUAUUAUAACAUAUUCUUGCAAAGCAAACUUCCUUUUCUUAUAAUUAAUUAAUAUAACUUCUAUCGACAGAAAUGAAAUCAACUAUCAUGAGUGUUUCGGUUGCCAUUCUUUUCCUUGAGUUAUUUGUUGUAGCUGCCAUGAUCAACAUCAGCUUCUGCAACGGCAACUCUUACGUGGGUUGCAUAGACAGUGAGAGAGAAGCGCUUCUAAAGUUGAAACAAGAUCUCAUAGAUCCUUCCAACCGUCUUGCCUCUUGGAAUACUGGUGAUGGAGAUUGCUGUAAAUGGGCUGGUGUUUUUUGUAGCAACAUCACCGGUCAUGUCCUUCAGCUCAGCCUCCAAAAUCCUUUUAGUUAUCUUGGAGGUGACUUACGAGAGGUCAAAGCUGGAUCUAAUUACGAGAGGUCAAAGCUGGGUGGUAAGGUAAAUCCAUCUCUGGUUGAUUUAAAGCAUUUGAUUCACUUGGACUUGAGCGGUAAUGAUUUUGAAGGGAUCCAAAUUCCCAAAUAUCUUGGUUCUCUUGAGAACCUAAGAUACCUCAAUCUCUCUGGAGCCAAAUUUGCCGGAAUGAUUCCUCUCCAACUUGGAAAUCUCUCUAAUCUGCAAUAUCUUGAUCUCAGUGGGACAUUUUUGAGUAAUUAUGAUUUACACGUUGACAGUCUUUCAUGGCUAUCUGGUCUUUAUAUGCUAGAGCAUCUCGAUCUGAGUCAAAUGAACCUUAGUAAAGCCUCUGAUUGGUUACUUGUCACAAAUUCACUCCCUUCUUUAAAAGUAUUAAAGCUGACCAAAUGCCAACUCUGUCACUUUCCUCCGCUGUUAUCCGCAAAUUUUUCCUCCCUUAAAGCCCUUCAUCUUGCAAUCAACAAUUUUGAUAAUUCUUUGUUUCAAUAUGGCAGCUGGGUUUUCGGUCUCCGUAAUUUAGUCUUUAUUGAUCUGAGCUCUAAUCAGUUUCAAGGUCAAAUCCCCAUCGGACUAAGAAACUUGACAUCUCUUCGACAUCUUGAUUUACGUUUCAACUAUUUCAAUUCUACAACACCAGGCUGGUUGUCUAAGUUCAAUGAUCUCGAGUUCCUCUCUGUUGCAUGGAAUUCCUUGCAAGGUACGAUUUCAUCAGUUGGUCUAGAAAACUUGACUUCUAUCGAAACACUCGACCUUUCUGGAAACUCUAAACUUGGAGGGAAGAUUCCAACCUCAUUUGCAAGACUUUGUAAGUUGACAUCAGUCGACCUCUCGUUAAUCGAUUUGAGUCAAGACUUCUCACAAGUCUUAGAUACUUUCUCUUCCUGCGGUGCAUAUGCACUAGAGUCACUGGAUUUGAGCAUUUGUCAAAUUUCUGGUCACUUGACAAAUCAACUCCUGCAAUUUAAAAGUCUGCACACUCUUGAAUUGGGACACAACUCUCUUUUCGGUCCACUUCCACCUGCUCUAGGAGAGCUUUCCUCUUUGAAAAAACUAGAUCUUUCUAAUAACAUGUUGAACGGUUUUAUUCCAUUGUCUUUGGGAAAACUUUCACACUUAGAAUAUCUAGACUUGUCUAACAACAAGUUGAAUGCGAGUCUUUCUGAAAUUCACUUUGUCAAUCUAACAAAAUUGACUUGGUUUUCUGCAUCUGGAAACUCUCUAAUUUUGAAAUUCAAUCCAAAUUGGGUUCCUCCUUUUCAACUCGAAACAUUGCAAUUGAGGUCAUGUCAUUUAGGGCCUCAUUUUCCAUCGUGGCUUCAUUCACAAAAGUAUUUGUCUUUCUUAGACAUAUCCAACACAAGAAUUACAGAUACUAUUCCUCGUUGGUUUUGGAAUUCUUCCCAUUAUCAGGAGCUGAAUCUCUCAAACAAUCAAAUCUACGGUGUUAUUCCAUAUUUUGAUCACCGUCCAUUGCCUUAUCAACCUUUCGAGUUUGGUUUACUUGAUCUUUCUAAUAAUGCUUUAUCGGGGUCUAUUAUUCAUUUAAUAUGUAAUGGGGAUAAUAAGUCGGUGAUCAUUUCUCUCAAACUCUCAAAAAAUUACUUUUCUGGAGACAUACCAGAUUGUUGGAUGAAUUGGCCUCAUUUGCAGGUGCUGAAUUUAGAUGACAAUUACUUUACUGGUAACCUUCCAAUCUCAAUUGGAACUUUAAGUUCUCUUAGGUCACUGCACCUUCGCAAUAAUCGAUUGGCUGGAAUAUUUCCCGUGUCACUUAAGAAUUGUUCGAGUUUGAUAUCUCUUGACAUUGGAGAAAAUGACUUUUUCGGCAGCAUUCCGACAUGGGUGGGAGAAAGAUUUCCAAGAUUGUUGACUCUCAAUCUUCGAUCAAACAACUUUCAUGGAUCUUUGCCAGUUCAACUUUGUCAUCUAACUUUUCUACAGAUUUUAGAUGUUGCACAUAACAAUCUCUCAGGGACCAUACCGAGAUGUAUCAACAACUUCACCGCUAUGGCGACAAUAAACUCAUCUAAUCAGAAAAACGCUAUAUAUUACUUUGUUACGAGAGGCAAUAUUGUCUUUGAGGACGCAUCCGUUGUGACAAAAGGGCUUUUGGUUGAAUACAACUCCAUUCUUAAUUUGGUAAGAAGCAUUGAUAUUUCCAAGAAUAAUUUCUCAGGAGAAAUACCUAUGCAAUUGACAAAUCUUGAAGGAUUGCAAACCUUGAAUUUAUCACACAACUUUUUCGUAGGAAAAAUUCCAGAGAAUAUUGGAAAUAUGAGAUCAAUUGAAUCCCUUGAUUUCUCAACAAAUCGACUUUUUGGUAGGAUUCCUCAAAGUAUGUCAAGUUUAUCAUUUCUUAAUCACUUGAACCUGUCAGAAAAUGACUUGUCUGGGCAAAUUCCUUCAAGCACUCAGUUGCAAAGCUUUGGUGCAUCUUGUUUUUCCGGUAAUGAUCUCUGUGGAGCGCCACUUCCUGAUUGUACAGAGAAGAAUACUUUUGCACCUGAAGUUCCGAAUGGAAAUGGAAACGAAGAUGAAGAUGCAGAUGAAGUGGAUUGGUUGUUGUACGCAAGCAUGGCACUUGGAUUUGUGGUGGGUUUUUGGUGUUUCAUUGGCCCUCUACUUGUCAACAGGAGAUGGAGAUACAAGUACGGUCAUUUCUUGGAUGGCUUUGUGGAUAGAUUUUGCUACUUUGUAAGAAAAUGUUACUAGAUUUUUUCAUGUUUUCCCUUGUGUUAUUUUAUGUAAUUUUUUAAAAUUAUUGUUCUAUAUACUGCAGAUAAGAAAUGAAGUGUUAUACAAUAGAGGGGAAGGAUUUUACAUUGGCGGCCUCUAAAAUUUUACAAAUUUUCAAACCAAGUUUCACAAAUUAGCUCAACUUAGCAAGGGUCCAGAUUUUUGAAUUAAAUGCAAAAGUAAUAGAACUAAAUGGGAGAGCUGUUGAUUUGAUAGUUCAGUCUUUUAUAUAAAAUUUAUGUUUCUUCCUCUUAAAGAAAAUUGUUCUUUCAUCAGAUAAACUUCAUCCUGCAUUGCUAAUUUGUUCGUGCAAUCAGAGAAACAUAGAGCUGAAUCUAAUGAAGACUAGAUCAAGGUGAAGGAUGCUUUCAAGAGGAAUCACAGUUGAGUCACUAAAAUCACAGUUGAGCCACAAAAUUUGUAAUUCAAAUUAUUGCCGCAUACAUGCUAAUAGUUUACCCAUACUCUCGCAAACAAUUUUGAGGACUGACAUCCCAUUACAAAUGAUUACUGAUAACUCAAAUUUAUCAACCUUAUCUUGCUAAAAGGCCCUAAACUGUGCAAGUAUUACAAACUCGGAUGGUUCCAUAUCAUCUAUCAUAACAACAAUUUUUUUUUUUUUUUCAAGCAGUCAUCAUCUCAUGGCAAUUAAAAGAUUGGCAUAAAAGUUGUAGGAGUUUGGAAGACGUGCCUGAUAGUAGCCUACAAGUCUCUGAAGUUCAAAUUUAACCAGUCAAAUUGGCCCAUAGAGCUAUUCGAGAAACUGAAUCAUUCCACUUAGAUUUUUUGGGCGCUUUUUCCACUAGAAGCUUGAUGGUAGCCCAUACAAAUUAGUCUUUGGGAAGUACUUUCUGCUUGAAAAUAUUUCAGAAUCAAGAUGAAAUACUCCAAGAGAAUACUAAUAUGGAUAAUUUCAGUCACUUGAAGUUUCCUCAUUUUCUGGAAAUACCAAUUGCAAGUCUUCAUUGUCUCUGUAAACUUGAACAAGUGCGGCAGCCUUAUAUACAAGCAUGCCAAACAUGGCUGCAACAAUCUGCGAUAAUGGGAAAAUUAAUAAACACAAUUUAUGUUAGCAAUUUUAGGGCUUCAUGAUCAAUUUGAAAACUUAUACAAACAGCCGCAGACAACACUAAAAAUUAUUUUAAUUGCUACCUGGAAAUCAAAGAAGGCAUUGGCAAAAUACCGAUGAGACAGAACCCACAAACCAUAUAUUGUAGCCGGGAUUACAAGCCUUGGAGAUGAAAGAGCAAGGCUACUUCCCUUGAAUGAUCUCUCUAAGAAGUACUUAAGGUCCUCGCUUCUUAUUCCAAUUCUACCAAAGAAAAAGAAAUGUUUGCUUAUGCAAGGAGGAGACAGAAAACAACUUAGCUACAAAGAUGCCAUUAAAUUUAAAAAAAAAGGGGGGCAGAAGAUUUAAUCUGUACUCCUUGGACUUCUUUUGCAUGAAAAUCUGAGGAACCAUUUCCUUGGACAGACGGUCUGCAUGUUGGAAUAAGAGCUGAAGGUACAAGCAACUGCACUGGAAAUGAGGUUUGUUAAACUACCAGAAUUAGGAUCAGUAAUAAGAACAGAUGGUCUCCUGCUGUUAAUAAACCUUUUUUUCAGUUUUCUGUCAAAAAAGUUGCUAAAAGCACUGCUCGAGUUCUCGGAGUUUUUCGCUUCCCUAAACUAGAAAAUGAGUUAUAUCUUUAAAUUCUUUGAGCGCUUUGGAGUCCCAAUUAGACCAAAUAAAGAUAACUCCUCCACAAAGAAAACACUCAAGGGAGUCUACUAAGUUGAGAAUACUUUAUAGAAGAUAUCUAUCCCCAUGGACCAUUUCUCCAGCUAUUGAUUUUUUAGGCCAAAAAAUCCUGUGGACGACUAACAGUAAUUUUUGGUGGAAACUUUACAUCUUACAUUAUCAUGGCUUCCUUGCAUUAUAAUAUCUCUAUACACUUAUUUUUACAUUAUUGGCAGGUAAAAGGUUGGAUCAAAAAGUUCCGUCCAAAUCACCAGGUAUAUUGGUAUUAUUGGCAGCAGAAUCUACCAUUCUUUUAGAUAACUGAUUGCACUAUUUACUAUUGCUAUUAUUCAUAGACCUUUCAUUUGAAUCAUAGCUCAAAAACUAGGACUCAGCACCGAGCUUACAAUUUGACAACCGACUCACCAACAUAUUAAUUUAACAGAUAUUAACCUUCUUCUAAAAAAAUAAAAAACAGAUAUUAACCUUAGUGAAAAUAGAUCAACUUACCCAGUGAUUCGGAAUGCUAAAGACCCUAAUAAAAGUUCCACUUUCUGUCUGGUCCUUGGCUUCAGGUAAACUAUAUUAUUCAAAGACGAAUCCUAAUGUGUGCUUAUCUGGGGCAAAGAAAUGGCAAAAGUACAAAUCAUCUGUUUUUGCAUUGUCACAAUGGUGGUCAUUUUUUCAGGCAGCUAGAAUUUCUUAAGUUAUUCCAGCUUCUAGCAUUUUUCAGCUUUCAGAGAUUAUUUAUGCUUUUGGGAGGAGGGGUGGUGGGGGGUGGGAGAAGCUAGAGUGUUACAGAAAUGUUCAGUUAUGUCCACUUAUUUGGUGAAUUGGCUUGAAAGAAAUUGAAGGAUGUUUUGAAGAUUCUGAGGAAGACAUCAUCUUUUUGUGGGAAAGAGUAGGAUUACUAGCUUUUCUUUGGGCGUCAUUAGAAAGGAAUUUCGAGAUUCUUCUUUCUUCUUCAUUUGUCUAAACUGGAAGCGGUGUUCACUUAGCUCAGUGCUUUGGAUUUGUUUUUGUUAUGAGAUCAUUUAGUCAUAUAGAUCCUAUAAUUAUUUGGUCAUAUUAUCAGCAUUGAACUGUAUAGACUUUUUGUGAUCUUUAGGGGUUCUUUCUUUGUGGACUCCUUGUUCACUUUCUGUAAUGUUUUUCUUUUUAAUAAAAAGUUUUAUGUUUCCCAUCAAAAAACACCAUAAAUAAAUAUAUGAAAAAUAAAAACAUCAGCUUACCUGAAAAGAACUCCAACCACAUAGCUAAAAGCCGCCUGUAAAAUUAACAAAGUCAUUUCUAUGUAAGCCCAAAAUUUACAAUAUUUCAUGAAUAUCUUACUUUACAUUUUUUUUUAAAAAAAAAAGUGAAUCCUUCCAAUAGAGUAGGGAAGAAAAAAAAAAUUUGCCUACUCUGUUGCAAUUUGUACAGUCAAACACUGAAAAUAUAUAAAAAUAUAAUAAAAAGUAGGUUUGAACCAUUGUCACCAAAUCCUCAUAUUCAUUUCUAAUCCAUACUUCCGUUAAAGAGGCUAGAGAAAGGUCUGAUAUAAAACAUUUUUUAAACUUGAAAUACUGGUGCUUUACUUUUCUGUGAGAUAUUACCUGGACUGAGAGCGUUAUCAAACAAUACCCACUCCAGGCAGUUCCAAUGCCAACUGACAAGAGCAUCAGUUCCCUCUUCAGCUGCAAGAUCAAAGUACGAAAAUCAGCAUCGUAAACAGCUUUUGUGGUACUAUGUUGCAGAAGCUAGCUUUUAGGUAAUAACACAACCUAAAAGUUCAAGCUGAGAGAUAAGAGCCUAAGACUACAGAAUCUAACACGUACCUCGCAUGCAAGGCAUGUAAAUCAAACAUAACAGGAACAUUGCUAUAACAAGAAGCAAACUCAAUGUUCUAAUAAUGAAAGUAACACAUCAGAAAAUCCAAAUACAAGACAGCUUGAUCAAACUAGCUCCACUAAAAGUUAAGCAGAUAGGUAGGACUCCAACAGUAGUUUUCAAAACCAACAAAUAUAAAUAUAAAAAUAAAAGCAUCCUGGAACAUACCCAGUCUGCGAACCCUUAGUUCUAUUACUGACUUUAACAUAAAACUGAAUCCCUUAGGUCCUAUCCUGGUUACUUGGAGAUCCAAUUGGAGAAAUAUUGGUUUCAAAACAGAAGCUUAGGUAACCAAAUUUGCAGCUUCAUUUGAAAACAGACAUCUCUUGAAAUGCCAUUUGCCAACAGAAAAAUAUGAACAACCUUUAACCAAAAUACAUUCACAUGGUGAGCAUCAGCUCAUUCAGCUCACAAGAUUAAAGUUACAGAUUUAAAUAUAAUGAAAUCAUAGGCCUAGAACCAAAAGGAGAGAAACCAGUCCGCCCUUGCACAUAUUUAUACAAUAUGUUCAUUUAUUAAUCAGUUUUUUCAAAGUUAGUUAGAUAACUACAAACAAUUUAUAUUUCAAAUGUAAAGAGAAUCUAACUUUAAAAGAAAUAAUGGAGCUAGAACUGAACAGAAAGAUCCCAAUUUCAGGCAUUGACAUCACAUCAACAACCAAUUAACCAUGAGAAAUACCGAUUUGAAGAAAGGUAUCAUACAGCUUCAUAUUUAAGAAGGUUCAGUCUCUUCCUUCUUUCACUGUCAUCCUGCAAAGCCUGUAUUUACAUGCAUUGGUUAGCAGUAUGAAAUUGCAGAUAUAAAACUUAAAACAAAUUCCCAUACUUUGCUGAAAUUGGGAGAAAGGGAGGGAAGAAGGAUGAAGAGAUGGGAAAGAGUGUUUACAAGCAAGCCCAUUAUAAUAAAAUGAUAGCCAAGAAAAAGCAUACCUUAGCAGAAGGUUUCUUAUUUAUUGGUGCGGAGUUGUCACCUAAUAGCCACUCAUGGGUUUUCAGUAAUUUCAAAAAUCCAUCAUCAUUGUCACUUUCUAUGACCUACAAAUAUUAGUACCAUCAAUAAAAGCACAAGCAAACUAAAUCACCUAAGACACCAGAAUAAAACAAACAGAAUGUCAUACACUUAGCAAUUAAAUUGAGGAGCCUUAAAGCAGAGAGUAGCUAAAACCAGUAUGGAAAUAUGUACACACUUUAAUUCAUAAAUGCGUCAAGAGUGGAGUUGAUGCCACAGUUUAAUGCUGAAGAGGUGAUAUAUGAGAGAUCAGAAUAAAGCAUCUGCAUCGUCAACUGCUUGAAAUUUCAAUGGAGCUUUUUAACAACACUGGGACCGAAUGAGUCCUCCUUCUAUAAACACCAGUUCUACCCCAGUCUAAGCCUCAAUUGUAAUAAGGAGCUGCACCUUGGGCGGUAAUUUAUUUCUCAUAAAAGCCUAGAAAGGAGAGUAUACAAGCUACUGCUAAUUCUAACAGAACACAGGCUUGGCGAAGUUUGAAAAUCCUUCAAGAUAUUGAAUGAAUCAAUUUGUUUUUUUCCCCCCAACUUGGCAUAACUACAUUAUUCAGUAACUUCUUAUUUGACACUCAUGAAACUAAAUAAAUAAAUAAUUUCGGAAGAUUUCUCAUUGAAACAGCUAAAUUGCUGCAUUAUUAGUGACAGAACCAUUCCAGAGUCCAUACUCCAAAGUCAGAACUUAAGAGACUCUAAGAACCACAAAAAGUACCGAGAAAGAUGCUCUAUAAACCAGAAUUGUUUGAAAUUAUCAUACUUCUAUACCACUACAGAGAACACGAAGCGAAAUUCUAAUUGGCAAUUGCAUAUCCCAAAAAAAAAAAAAAAAACAGAAAGAAAGAAGAAUACGAUACAUUCUUAUGAAUCAGAAUCAAGUAAGCCCUGGUGAGCUUGUUCAGAAUUGUCAGCAAAUUUCCCAGCAUCAGCAUCAAAGUCAACAAAUUUCAGAGCCCCCAUCAGCCAAAACAUAUCAGAAGUUUUGGAAAUAAAGUCACCAUUCAAUUCUCUAUCUUUAAAGAACAUUUGCAGAACAUCCUCUUCAGCAACUUCACACACUGAGAAGUAAUAAAAACAUAAAAACUGGAAUGGGAAUUGACUGGGUAGCAUUAGAAGCGUCACAAAAAAGGGGUGGUGACUGACCUGGACUACUGCUUGUUCUUAAGAGAGAAGAAGAGAAUGUUGGUGAUGUUUUCUUGGAAAGCGGCUUCUGGGUAUGAGGAAGUGGAGAGAAUAUUGGGAAAUGAGAGUGAGUGUAGUUUGUUAAGAAGCUAAUUCUUGAGAGAGCCUCCAUUUUUGUUGGGACUUUCUGGCUUGUUGCUUGGCUAAGCCCCACUCUGGUUUGAUGGAGAAUGGUUUGGAACAAAAGAGGCGUCAUCGCAUUCUCCUGUCGAGCACCAGCACCGCCGGCCGCUCGCUAUUUUUCUAUUCAUAUAAUUAAUUGUGAGGGAUAAUUUCAUGGGAAUCCGUGAGGUUCACUUAAUAUCAAUAAUACCAUAUAAGUUCUCAAUCAACAUUUGAACUUGUACAGUCAUAAACUCUCCAAAUUAAUAAAGUCCCACAUGUUGGUUUGUAAUUUUAUGAUUCUUAUAACUUUGUGACAAUUUAUGUCAGUUUGCACCAUGGUGUAAUAUUUCAACAAAAGUGAGAAAAAUGUGAAUAACCUUUUAUAAUUUUUUUUAUUUUAUUCAUCUUUAUAAUUAACCUAUUUAUUAAGUCAUAUGUCAUUUAUCUAUUAGAAUGAGAAAUUUUAUUUUACCUUUACUUAGAAUACCACCAUAUUACUUAGAAUGAAAUCUUUAGGGAUAUUAUAAACUAGAAAGUAUUGUAUUAAUAAUUUUAAUAUGGUUAAGUUUUCAAAUAUUCUCUUGUGAAAUAACAAUCUUUAAAACACUCCCAAACUGAUAAGUGAAAAAUGAGAGUGGGUUAACGAAAUUGUUUUUGCUUUCUUUAGAAAAAUAGGAGGAAAGUUGAGAUUUACAAUAAAUUUGAGAAUAUUUCGAAAAUUAUUAUUUCACAAAAGAGUAAUCCAAAAUUAACCACCUCUUACAAUAUAAAUAAAAGAAAAUGCAUCAAGAUGGUAAAUAUAAGCCAUGUGGACUUUUGUGAUUCAUAGAUUUUAUGUAGAAUCUGAUUGUAAUAUCAGUAACGAAAAAAAAAUACCAACAAAGUGUUGGCUCCACUGGCAAUGGAGUCCCUUUAAGUGGUUUGACUGAGUUUGCUACCCAGUUCGAGUCACAGGGAAGUCUCAUUUGUUGAGAGAACUUGUGCCUCUCAGUUCGAGAGGAGACUUCUAAUCUAGAUUGUGGUACAGGCUUAAAGGUGACUUCCACAGUUGGGGCCCUCCCCAGGAUACUUUGUGAUUAAUAUCAAAAAAAAAAAUCAGUAAAGAAAAAUAUUAUGUAUUAAUAUUUCUAAUUGAUUACGGGAAGAACAACGAAGGAAAAGCUUUCCAGAAUAUUAGCAACAAUAUAAACAAAUAUUAUGCUAAUCAAUGAUUAUCUUCGCUAUCAGAACCGUAUGAAACCAGACUUACUGUUACAGGGCAUUUAUUAUGAUCAGCAUCACCCCUAUUUCUUUUCAGCACUGCAGGUUCCGGAGAUUUUUCUGCCGCAUCAAUUUUUUUCAUCGUAUCUGAAGACGAUUCUGCUGCCACAAUCUGAACAUCUUUCUUCGGUUUCUUUGCCAGCGGCAUCACUUUCAUAAUCGAGCUCAAGGGACGAGACGCUGGAUUCUUCUUCCCAAUAAUUACUCUUUGUUGAUGAUGAUCAUCGUCAUGGCUUAUUAAUGUUUCCUUGGAAGCAACACAUUGUGCUGCCACGGCUGCCCUGAAACGCCGAAGCUCCAGGGCCUCUUCGUCAGCAAGCCGCCGCUCUUUUUCCUUCUUAUACGACUCCCAUCCGUCAAGAAACUGGGCCUCGUCUUCGUCCAAGAAUUUCGGAGGCUUGUGCUUCCGGCGGUCCUCGAGAUCCUUUUUCUUUUUGGCUUUGUUCUCGUUCAGUAUCUCGUGAAGAGGCCUGUCUCUCUGUGCUGUCCCUCUUCAACUCUUUCGCCUCUUGUCUUUUUGGCUUCAUCCAAUUGUUCUUCUGAUAUAAAGUUGAUCCUCAAUGCAUUAGUGCUGGUUGCUGUUGAUUGUUCAUCCGCCAUCUUCAAGAUCAAUCGAAAUCAAAAUCCAGUAUACCAAAAUCGAAGUAUCUAGAGAGGGAGUUAAUUAAAUAUAUAAUUUAGCUAGAACUUUAGACGAUGAUCAGUAUAACGAUAUGUGUGGAUCCGACUUACUUAUGUUAAUGAUUAUGAAUGACUACUUUGUGCUAGUGCUACUGGGACUCCGGAUAUUAAGUUGCCCGAACCCAAGUUGGGAAAGUACAAAAUACAAAAUCCUAACUACGUUGAAUUCCAAGGUUUUAAAAAUAAAAAUUAUAUGUAAUUAAAUUCUUUUUAUCUAUAAACACACGUGUGAUAAAAGAUUGUAAAAGCCUUGUCUCAGCUAAUUGACAAAUACUACAAAUCCGUUUCAAUUCUAUAAUUAUUUUUUUAUAUUUUUAGUUGUAAUUUUAGUUAUAAUACAUGAAAGAUUAUUUUCGAAUAGAUAAAUUGUUACUUGAUUGAACAAAAUCCUUAUAGAAAUUGGAGUAGCUAGCGGCUCUCGGUUCACUUAUUUCACGAAGAAAAAUUAGGAGACCCAACUAGCUAGAGAUAUAUGAUCAAAGAUAUUAUUGUCCCUGAAAUGGCAACCGUAUAAAGCGAGAAUUGGAUUGUGAAAUAUGUAAGUUAUGGACCAAAGAAACAAUUUACAGCCACCAUUAUAUUAUAAGGAAGUUACUCCCAAAGUUGUAACAUUUGUGGGAAAAAAAAAAGGACCCAAAGUUGUAAGAUGUGUGGGGAAAAAAAAAGGGUGAGGCGGUUAAAAAGUAAAUAAAAGUAAAAGAUGCAGCUGGAAACAGAGGAACAUAUAUACACGUGUGAGAGAGUGAAAGAAGCUGUAAACCGACCUGAAACCCGACCCGACCCACGAACCUGACCCGAUUGCAUCUCACGAUUCCGGCCACCUCACCGGUCUAGCAAGCUAUCAAUCGGAAGCCCGUGAGACGCUGAUCAUACCCAAGCCGUCAUUACCGCUUAUCGCCGCCGUUUCAAGUUUGAGAAAUCGCAGCCAAAACUCGUCACCACCGCCGUUGAUUCUACCGGAAUUUGACCACGCCACCACCUCAGUUUUGUUCCUCAUGACGCCUUCUUUAAUUCCCGACCAUCCACAACCACCGGGAGUCAUUGUUUCGCCGCCAGCCAAUUGUUAGAGUUUCGCGGUUGUUGAGCUAAGUUCUGAUGCCGUCACCGCGCGUUAGAGUUCACUGCAGGUACCACUGAACUCAGCGUGGCCAAAAGUGUCUAACAUGUGCUUCUUGGCCAACGUUGACUGAAUUCCAGUCACCGUUGACCCACGAGGGUAAUUCGGUAAUUUCACAUUUUGAGGGUGAUUUUGUAAUUUCUGAACCUGUAGAUAUUUUAGUAAUUCCUAAAAUUGAGGAUCAGGUGUAAUUACGAUUCCGAGAGUAAUUUGGUGAUUUAUGAUUUUAGAGUAUUUUAAUGAUUUACAGACUCGAGGGUAUUUUAGUAAUUUUAUCGACGCAGGAGUUGUAAAUUAUGGGUAGAUGUUCGUUUCGGUUUUAUUGCAUAAAUUUAGUCAUAAUUUCGAUUUAUGGAAAAUAAUUAUAUUGUUUCUUUGAUUUGGGAGGAUCCGUGAGCGAGAACCAGUCCGCGGGCGUGGACGAUAACCGAGUGUGAGCAUCGUCACUGUGAGUUGAAUAUACAAAACAUAUUUUCAUAGUUAAUUAUGAUAGUAAAGCAUGUUUGCGAAAUAAGUAUUUUAAAUGUUUUGAUUUAAUAAUUUUCUCGAAAUGGAUUUUAUUCACGCAUUGAUAUUAUAUUAAAAUGUUUGGUUAAUGGUUUUCUGUAUCAACUUGAAUAAAAUAUGAUAGUAUCUUAAAGAUGAGAAAAGUGGAUUUAGAUGUGACAAUGAAAAGAAAGGUAUGAUUUAAAGUAUUGAUUAGAAUGUAUAUAAAUAUGAGUAUAGAGAUUGUUUUUAAAAUCAUUGGACAAUACCCUUCCCUCUAAAUACUGUGAAUCUGUGAUACAGAUGAGAUGAGAGGCCUUUGGGGCCCAUCUGAACACACAUAGAGGUUUUGGGUGGUGUGUUUGGGAGCUUUUGCUUUUUGGGGGCUUAUGCAUGCAGUAUGAUGAUUACAGAGAUACGGAUAUUGAGAUACAGAUAGAUAUUGAGAUACAGAUAGAUACUGACAUACAGAUGAGACAUAUGAGAUAUAGGCCUUUGGGGCCUGUUUGAGUACACACAGAGGCUUUAGGCCGUGUGCUUGGCGCUUUUGUCAUUUGGGGACUAGAUUAUGCAUGCACAUGUAUGAUGAGAUAUGAAAUGGUAUUUCCUUGUCUAUUCGUGUAGCUCCGAGGCAUGACGGUACCUAAAUAAUACAUCAUUGCUCGUCCGUUGAGGUCUAGAUACGACGAGAUUAUUCCCUUGGGUACUUGUUUGGUGACGAUUUUUAGAUUUAUAUAUUCUAUAUGAUAUUGUGAUAUGAUUCCGUGGUUAUUAGGUACGAUAUUAUAUAUGUUUUUCAAGGUUAGUAAUAUGAUUUAAAUGUUAAAUUAUUUAUUAUUGGUUUCUCGCAUAUGGUUUGAUGAAAUUGUGUUUGGAAAUGAUAUGAUUAUUUCUUUUAAAGUAUGAGUUUAUUUUCAAAAAUUACUAUCCACUCACUAAGCUCAUUGAGUUUUAUACUUAUCCAGUUUUUAUUAUAUUUUCCCCCACCAGGAGGUUGCAAGUACACCCAACCCACCCAUCAAGUGUAAAUAUAUUUUGAGUCUUGCCCAUAUGUGAUGGUGUUAAAAGAUAUAGAUGAUUUUUGUUAGGACAUCCUGAUCAUCUCACUCUUUUGGGAUUGUACAAUUUUGUUAUAUUAUUCUUUUGGGAUUAAGAAUAAACUGAUGUAUAUUAAUAUUAGUUAUAAUAUAAUCUUUUGACACUUUGGAGAUAUUUGGAGUAAAAUUCAGUAUUUUUGUUGAGGAUGUUGAUCAUUGAACUUGGUUGUAUAUUGAAUUUUUUUGGGCAGUGUUAUAUUCAUAUUUGCAGAUUGAGAGUGUUAUAUUUAUAAAGGAAACUCUAUUGAAUUUUCAGCAGAAUUCUCACUAAUUAGAUUAUUAUCAAGUUCGUUUUCAUAAGACUAGAUUGACUUGCCCGGGUGAGCUUUGGGGCGGGUCGUUACAAAAGUAAUACUAAAACAAGACAUGUUUAUUUAUUUCUUCCUUUUUUUUUAAAAGCCUAAAAUCCUAAAUAGAAGAUUCAAAAUUAGUGAAGGAACUGCAUUCGCACUGCCUUAUAAAUUUCUCUACAAUGAUCGAUCUACCAUUAAAAAAAAUAAAAAAGUUUGCUCAAAUUUAUAAGAAUAUACAAUCACUUUCACUUCAAUCAGUCAUAAAAUGGGCUUCAGCUCCUACUCCUAGCAAGCAUUUUCAAUACUAGUUUUGUUCAUUACUUCGGUAAAAGGUAUCGAUGCAACCAACUGAGUUUUCAACGUCAAGGACUUUGGUGUUGUGGCCGAUGGCAUUAAGGAUAAGGGUGGCAAAACGAAUAAACGAAUCGAAUUCGAGUCGAAUUGUAAAUGAAUUGGGUUAAAAUUCUACAGAUUCGGAUUCAAUUCGUUUAUUAAACGAAUUGAAAUUUCAGGAUUCGGAUUCGAUUCGUUUAUUAAACGAAUAUUCGGUUUGAUUCGUUUAUUAUUCGUUUAUCCUUAACGAGUCGAACCGAAUCAAAUCGAAUCAGGAUUCGUUUAGAAAAAUAUAAUUAAUAAACAAAAUUAAGCAAAAUAAAAUAUAAAAAAUCACAAUUUUAACAUCCCACAACAAAAUACAAGUAACUCAAACCAUAUUAUGCAGUCAUCUAAAUACCAAAUUACAAAUCCCUAAUAAUACAAAUAACAAUAAUUAAAAUUCAUAUGAUAAAAUAAGGUAAUUUCUUUAAUUCUCUUCAUUUGUUUUUUUCACCUUGAAAACAAAAAUCCUACACCAAAAAGUAAAUAAAAAUGUUAUUAACAAUUUAACAUAUUGCAAUAUUGAUAAUAAUCAUUGUAAAAUUUCAAAAUUUCAAAAUAUCAAAUAUAUACAAAUUUGUAGUAUUUUUAAGGAAAUACUAAUUAAAUAAGACAAAACUUUACCUAUCACACUCACACAAAUCCAAGGAUUUGGAGCAGUGGCAAAACGUAGCACUUGCUGGAUGUAAAAAUUAAAAAGAAAAAGAAAAGGAUUUGGAGAAGGAAAUGAAGGGAAAGAGAUUGCAAAAUGUAGUUGUGGCGCCUGAGUUGCUAGGAGAUGAGGGAAAAGUGCGUGUGAAGUGUAAAAUUAGGGUUGGUCUUUUGGCUUUAUGUGUUAUGCUUAAAAUUACAAUAUUAACCUUCAUAUUUUAAAAAGUUUUCAAAUAAAUUUAAAGAUAAAAAGGUAAUUUAAUUAAACGAAUAACAAACAGGUCGAUUCGUUUAUGACCCAUUUAUUAAACGAAUCCUGAACGAAUAAACGAAUCAAAAUCUUCAAACCCGCAUUCAAUUCGUUUAAUUAGCGAAUCGAAUCGAAUUCACCCAUUUAUUAAACGAAUCAAUUUUUUCAAACCCAAACCCACUUAAUUCGCAUUGAAUUGAAUCGAAUAAACGAAUUUUGACCCAUAUUGCCACCCCUAAUUAAGGAUGAUAGUAAGGUAAGGAAAAAUAAGAUCCGUAUAAAAUAAAUAUUAAUGUACUACUUACGUCAUUUUGAUUAUUUUCAACCAUCAUCAGGUAAAUAAAUAAGUUAAUCAAUGUAUUUAGAAUAAUAUAUUAUAUCUUUCCUGUGCAAAUUUAAAGCAAUCCAACUCAUAUAUCCAAAAUUAACUGCGGUUCAAUUUUGACUCACAUGGAUUCUUUGUUUUGGAAACAUCUCUUAAGGGUUCAAAAAUUAUCGGCUAUGAGUGAUACAAAAAUUAACACAUAUCUAAUUAAAACAUAAAUUCUCAAACUUCAGAAAAUUUUGUUACCCUCUAAGUUAUAGUAUUUCAUUUUAGAUAUCCAAUACAUUUUUGUUCUCUAAUUUUUUUUUUUUUUUGGGUCUCUCUCUAUCAUCGGCCUUUGUUUCUUCCAGUCUCUCGAUUCGUGAGUAGUGCUUUGCUAAAAUGAUACAAAUUUAUCUUUUUCACCUAAUCAAACAAGCAAACAUGUCAACAAUUAUUUGCAUGAAGCAGGCAACUGAGUCCAUUUUCCUUCCGUAGGGCUUACAUUAAGUAUUUUAGGGUGUGUUUGGGAUUGAGGUGCUAUAGCUUUUAAGCUACAGCUGCUGUGAAAAAAAAAUUGUAAUUAUGAAACAAAAGUUAAUAAUAUAUAGUAAAUAUAAAUUUUAAAUAAUAAUUUUGAUAAAAUUAUUAAAAAUAUAAUAAAUUUUAUAUUAUACAAGUGAAAAAUCAUAUCAACAUAGAUUAAAAGCUACAGCAGUUAGUGUUUACCAAACACUUUAGUGCUAUAGCUUUUAAGCUACAGCUGACCAACCUCAAUCCCAAACGCACCCUUAGUGACAAAUGCCUAAUAAUGCAGACUGCUACAAGUCCACUGAGCAGUCAAUGACACUGAUACUUGAACCAAAUUUAAAGGAUUUGGCACCGAAAUUUCUUGCCGGAAGGGAAAAGGCGUGGUCAUAAUAACUACGUUUCAAUUCUACUAUUCUAUAUUAAUCAGAUUCGAAUAUCUUAUGUGUAACCCAGUGGACCUUAUAGCAACCAAUAUGAUAUCAUUCUCUUGUGCACAUUUCCUUUUCUUAUAAUUAAUCUAUACCCAUAUCAAUGAAAUCUAACAAUAAGAAAAAUAAUUAUUGGGGUAAACUAAAGUUAACCCCAAAUAUUUUCUCAAUAUAAAUUAUCCGUAAUUACUUUUCUUUUUAAUUAAAAAAGGGUGUUCAAUAACUUUUUUUGUUUUAAGUUAAAUAAAGAUGUUAAGAGUAUUCCUUUUUUAGUAUGAAAAAGUUAAAAACCCACCAUUUUUUAUUUUUAUUUUUUUAAUUCUCCCUCUCCUCGGCCUUUCUUCCUUAUCCAUUUUAAUUUUUCUUUUUCUUUUUUAGUUAUUUUCCUUUAUUUCUCUCAACCUCAAUUUCUUAUUUUUGCUCCUUUUUUUCAUUUCUAAUUGGCUCUGAUUCUUUGAUUUUUGAGUGAACUCGUGUGUCAUGCUAAUACACCACGUGGCAAAGAGCAAUAAAAGGGGGGAAAAAAUAACAUCUUCAGAGCUUAUAUAAAAAAAAAGUUCUCCCAAAAACAUGGAUAAGUUGCGGGGUUGGAUUUAAUUUUGGGACUAAAAAAUUAAUCUUAUCCUAUGUCAUGUUUGGCUAUUAGAAUUAGUAAAUAAGUCCAAAUCUAUUGGGAUUAUUAGUCCUUAUUUUCAUGUGGAUUUAAGGGCUAGUUUGAGAUUGCGGAGAAUGAUGAAAUAACCUGCUUGUGUUGUGCAGUUAAAAUCAAUUGCUGAUUAGCUUAGUGUUUAGUAAACUGUAUUGUUGCGGUUGUUGUGAGUUUGAAAAGUAAAAUAUAUGCGUUUAGUAAAUUUUAUUACAAACGUGUUGUUUUAUUAUAUAAUGACUAAAAUAGACAUAAAUUUUAAUUACUUAUUAUUUUUAGAGUAUGUUUAAUAAAUUGUUUAGACAUAUCUUUUUUUUUCAUAAACAUAUAAAAUUACAUUAAAAAAAACUCAAUUAAAAAAUCUAAAGAACUUCAUAAUCUGUUACAUAAAUAUGAUAAAAAUUCAUACUUAUACAUAAUCCAAAUAAAACCAAAAGCAAUAUGUAUUACAUUUACAAUAAUUUUUUUGCAAUAAAGUUUCUCAAAUUUUUCAUUUCUUGGGAUCCAGAGCCAUUAGUAUUGUGAUGCUCUUCGUAAGUAUUAUUGCCUCUUUUUAUUCGUUCAUCAAAGAUUGAAGUAGGAUAAUUUUCAAUAUUGUCAAAAUGAAGAUCACGUUGCACAUGUCUCCUUAUAUAAUUGUGCAAUGUCAUGGUUGCAAUGACUAUUUUCACUUGUUUGGAAAACGAAUAGCUGGGCAUAUCUCUUAAAAUCUUCCAUCUUUUCUUCCAUACUCCAAAUGCGAGUUCAAUAAUGCUUCUAAGUGAUAAGUGAGCAUGAUUAAAUAUUUCUUGAUAACCUAUGGGUUUAGUAUCUUGGCGAAACUCUGGAAGGUGGUAUAUUUCACCUUUAUAUGGACCUAAAAAACCACUAAUUUGGGGGUACCCCACAUCCACUAAGUAAUAUUUUCCUGUUGAAUAAAAAACAUGUGAAUUUGUAUAAUAAUAUUUUAAAAGAUUAAAUUUUAAUUCAACUUAAAUACUUUGUAAAGAAAAUAUUAAAUAUUUAAGAAAUAAAAUUUAAAAAAAAAAAAAGCAAAACACCUUUGGGAGGCUUUGGAAAAUUCAUUGUAGGGUUGUUAGAAAAAUCCUUGCAUCAUGUGCACUACCUUCCCGACCUACAAGUGCAAAAAUAAAUUGCAUAUCAAACUACAUGCAACCAUUAUUUUUUGAGUCGGUAUUCCUUUUCUACCAAUAUAUGGUACUUGAUCUUCUAGGAAUAUUGUGGCAAGAACAUGCACACCAUCUAUAGAACCAGUACAAUCUUGAUAAUAGCAUGAAAACAUAUUCAUUGCUAAUAUGUAACUUUGUAAAACAAAAAUUAAAUACAUUUUUUUAAUUACCUCAAAGUGGGGCAUGUAUCUUGAAUCUCUCAGUAUUUCUUUAGGAACUUCCUUAAACUCAGGAUCUUCUGCCUUUAUUAUAUCAAUUGCCGUUAUACAUACAACAUCUAAUGCUUGGCUAAAAUAUCUACUGAUAGUUUCACCUGAGUGUUGAAAUCGUUCUUGUGCUAACCUGUUUCCAACCCCAUGUCCCAAAGUGUGCAAAAACAUUCCUAAACUCUCAGCAGCGCCCAUUCUUCUUGAACCUUGUGGCCCAUAAUUUGUUUCCAGAUCAGCAAAUAAUUUUAAAAAAUACAGCCUUUUCCAUUUUAAACAUCCUGUAGCAUAUUUUAAAAAAUACAGCCUUUUCCAUUUUAAACAUCCUGUAGCAUCGAUUAUCAUUUCCUUCUAAUACUUCCUUCAACCACAUAUUUCCAGUUUGUAUAGAUUUCAUACAUGGUUGUUUAUAAAUAUAUUUGAGAUAAUAGUCUUCUAUAAGAAGUGCAGAUACGCAUACAAUUUGGUCGAACACCUCAUCAUCAGAUGUAUCAAUUUCUAAAAUAAACCUAUAAACAAUUAUUUAAAAAGUAUCACUAAACAUGCAACAAUUUUUUUUUUUUAAAAGUAAAGAUAAAAUGAUGUUAUAAACAAUUACAAAAAUCAUUCAUAAUUAUUAUUAUAACUAAUGUCUGAUGAAAAGUAGUAUGAAAACAGUAUCAUAAAAUUAAUUGUUCAUAAAGCACCUUAUUCCUAAAAGAAACUAAAAUCUAAAAGCCUAAAGGAAAAUCUAGCAUUAUCUAAUAAGAUUACUACAAUAACAUGUUUCAAAGAUUAUAAGUCGGUGAUUUCUCAAAAUGAAGCCAUUUAAGCAUCGUCUCUGUCUUUCGUGACAGAAAACAUCUCUCUCUUCUCUUUAGAUAAAAAGAGUAGAGUGGUAAAUAACCAUAAGUCGCUUCCAACUUCCACUCCAGGUAAAGAUUCAACCAUUUGCAUCACUUCAAGAGUACUACAGCAGACGGUAUCAUUUUUUUUAUCCUCAACAACAUUUAUAAGGCAGUCAAUAUGUUGUGAUAAUUUCGUAUCGUCUCCUACCUUUGCCCCUCCUAAUCCAACCUUUUUAACUUUCUUCACCCUUUUAUCUGUUAUCUUACGUAUUUCAACAUUUCUUUUAUCCACCAAUUUCUCAAAAUUUUCAAUACCUUUGUCAAAUUCCAAUUGAUCAGUGAACUCAUAUGAAUCACCAUUACUUUCUAAUGGAAUGACAUUUUUGUCUAACUCUUCAUUAUUUUCAUAUGGAAGGAUGUCAGCUGAAAGUGGCCAAGCAUGCUCUCCGGUGGCGGCAGUGUUCAUGAACAUCCUGUCCAACUUCCCUUCUAAUUAUUAAUCAAUGCCUCUUUUACGAAACUUGCUUGCCUUGGGAUACAUCUGUAUAUGUACAUUGUAUGAAGUUAAACACUAAUUUUAUAUAUAGUAAAAAAAUAUUGUGGCAAAAUAAUCAGCAUUCACCUUUAUUUUCUUUUGCCACCACUCUUCAGAAGCAUCAAUAGUCUUUAAUAUGGGAUUCCAUCCUAGACCAUUUUCUUUCCCCAUAAAAUCUUUCCAUAAUUUCCAACACUAGUAAAAUGAGUUCCAAGGCAACGUCCUACCUCUAAUUCCGAAAUACACAAAUCACAAAAUAUAACUAGAGUAUUUGCAUCCCAAUGUGCCUUAAUAAGUUGUGCAUUACUGGAAGUUUCAGUAGAGUUGGCAAUAUUAUUGUUCUUCAUCUAUAAUAAUAAAAUGUAAAAUCCAACUCAAUCAUUACAGUCAUGACAAACAAGCAAUAAUAGAUAUCAAACACUCAAGAAAUCAAGCAAUUAUAUCAUUAAUCAGCAUAUCACAAUCAAAAGCCACAUUCACACAAACAUGGCUAUAGUGAAAUAUAACUAUAUAUUUGUUGAUGCAGAAAUCUGGUCAUGUUGUAGGGCUGAUCAGGUUGUCUCUUCAACGAUCAAGUUAGCUCUGGUUGGGGCACUAUGUUGCUCGUUCCUUCCCCUGACGAGCGAAUUUUGCGACCACAACCAACCUCGUUCCUUCUCUUAUGACCUAUACUUAUAGAAAUUGAUCAGAAGCGCCAGUAGUUUUUUCGGCGAAAACCCUCCGAUGCUUAAGUCAGUAUGUAGGGUUUCAGGAAAAACGUUGGAUUAUAAAUCUAUGCAAGCUAACAAUUGUUAAAUGAAGGAAAAUUUUUUUAAAGGCUUUAUGAAAAUGAGUUCUGAAUCCAAAAUAGCAGAGUUUCCCCUUAUUUUUUUCUUGUCUUUUUCCCUUUCCUGUCUUUUUUUGGGGUUUUAUAGGCAACGACCCUUUGUGUCUUGAACAUCCCCCCAAGUCCUCCAUAUUCGAGCCAUCAUAGAUCAAAUGGAUUGCGAAAAUCGUGCAUGGGUUAUCGUGCCUCCCUCGAAUGGUUUGGACGUGGCGAAGCUGCCGCCUUAAUAUGGCAUCAUGCCCAAUUUUUAAGUACAUUUGUCUUGUUGACCUAUAGCUUACACCGAAGAGGGCUAUGGUGCCAUUGUAUCUACUCAUCAAAACAUAGUAGAGGAGAUUCCACCCAACCAAAUGAAUCAUGUACGACUGGUGCUCUUUUAAUCACCUAAACAUCAGUCCCCCUAGUUUCUAGUAUUGUGAGUGGAGCGAGCUAAGACUAGAAACUAGGAGACAAUUAUGGUAAUAAUGCAGGUUAAGUUAUCUAGCUCUAAUCAUGAUCUGGCGAAGUCGAGGUGGCGUUCUCAAAUUAUUUGGUUGCCCGGGUGGUAUAUAGCUGCAAGAGCAAUGUGUAUAGAGCAGACACCUAUGUUCUCAAGUACACUACCAAUCUGACUUCUUGUCAUAUCAUUUUAAAUGCUUGCGACGUGGCACUUCCUACACCAUGUAUUUAAAAUUUGAAAUGGUGAUUUCUUUGCUCUCGAUUAAACUGACACAUGCGUUACUUAAACGCUUCUUUUCUCUUUCCUUCAUAAAAUCCAUAAAUCGAGGACUUCAUUAAACUUGUUCUUCCACUUUCUACUGAGAUUUUUAACUUGAAAUCAAGCACCCUUUUUACGCCGGAGACUCUCUUUCUUCUGCUGUUUUCGCUGUGACAGUGACUCUAUUAACCUUAAACCAUCCCAGGUAUUGCCCUCUGAACUAACUUCUGGUUGUUAUUAUUUUGUCUUGUAUUGUGCUUUCUUGUUCGAGUAUUUGGAUUUGUUUUUAGUUUUCUCCAUGUUAAAAUGAAAAGGAAAAAUUAUCUAUAUUAAGAUGAUGAAGAAAUAGAUUCAUACCUCUAUAUGCUAAGAGAGACUCUCCUCGACCCCUAGAUUUCCCCGAGUGAUGUAGACCCCUCUAAUACUAAGAGCACUCUUAGGUAACCAUCGUUAGAGGUUACUCCACCACCUUCUGGUCACGAACCUAGUGGGAAUAAAAGUGGACAAACGUCGAGCUUCGACGAAAGUCCUAGCUCGAGUGGGGUAGAAAGUCAUGAUGAAGAGAGUGAUAAUGUGGAAAGUGGCACCGAGCCGAUCUAACCAGCUAAAAAAAAAAACCUUGGCCACAGGAUAGAAGCUAAUUCUUAUCCCAUCGAUUUUAUAAAGUACAGCACCACACAAAAUGAUCUAUACAAAUUGAAAAACCUUUAUCGUAUUCCCAACAACAUCCAUCUCGUUAUUCCCGAAAAAGUGAUGUCCCUAGUCAACUUCCUCAAGGCUACGUGACCUUAUACUUGAAGUGUUUCAAGUUAUGAGUUAAAUUGCCCCUCCAACCUUAUUUUGCGAAGUUAUUGAGUGACCUACAUUUGGCUCCUAGUCAAUUAAACCCAAACAGAUGGAGGGUACUUUCAGGCUUGUUUGUGCUGUGGGCUAGGUGUGAACCUUGAAAGCUUACCACUGAUGAAAUAAAGAAUUUACAUCAACUAAGAAACAACCCAAAAGACGUGGGCUGGUAUUAUUUCAUGUCGAGCUCUACAAAGAGAAAAUCCAUCACAGACUUUCCUACCUCAUGUAAAAAAUGGAAGACCAAAUUCUUCUUUGAUGAGGGAAACUAGGGUCAGGUGAUUCAAUUGGGUGGCGGUAGUAUUCAUGUCCCCACGCGUUUUUGCACCCCAGGUCAUUUAUUAUUUUUCACGCCUCAUGCCUUCAUUCUUACCAUUUACUGUGUUUUUUAGAUUAUUGGAGCAUGAUUUACAACAUCAAGGAGGAAUUGUUACUCAAAGUUCAGACUGCCCUAGUCAACGCUUGUACGUGCAAAAGCCUUUUGACGUCAACAAGUCUCAUCGAGUCCCACCUAAUCGAUAUAGCUACGGGGAUAGAUAACAAGAUCCUUGGUGCCAUGGCAAGGAAACAUGCUCGUGGUUCAGGCGACUUUGCCCCUACCCCACAAAAGAAGAGCAACGUCACCCCGACCAGCGCUCCUCCACCAACUCUGCCGCCCUCUCCGGCCUAAAAGGGUGGUGGUGAAAAAUCUCGCUAGAAGACCCCGAGAGUGCUACCCCUUCUACCAACCGAACUUCGUCACCUCUAUCCCGAGACCAAAACAAUUACUUGGCCAUAUACCAAAGGGAAUAUGCCAGGGUGAUGGGGUUCACGUUUGUAAAAGAGUUUGAGGGUAUAACCCUUACUGAGAUGGGAGGCUCCAUCCAAAAAACUACCUUUUAGCCCGCUACAACAGCCUCUUAUUAUAAGUUCAAGGCUUCUCGCCAUAAGAAGAGAUGACAAGUAGAGAUUUAAGACUUGAAGAAAAAAAGUUGAGGCAACUGAUCGUUCAAAGGAGCGAUUGCUUGAACUGCAUAAGCAGAUUCUAGACCUUGAGGAGAAAAUUGCUCUCACUGAGUCCAAGUCCAUUCAACUCGAUCGUGAGGUUGUAGAGAUGGAAUCUGAUCUUGACAUUGCAUGAAGUGAGUGAGAUACUCAGAAAUCAGCGCAUGAAGAGCAAAUUAAAUCUUUGAAAUUGCUUAUAACUAAGUUGAAAGAUAAGGUCAAUAACAUGGAGGACCGGAUGGAUGAGGAGUACGACUCUAGGCUUGCUUUUAGCUAUAACUGCAUUAUGUCUGUCCUUAAGAAGGAAUAUCCAAAGCUGAAGAUAGACAAGCUUGAAGCAAGUGUAAACAAGUAUAUGGCUUAGCAAAAUCAACCAAACAAAGGCCAAGAUGGGACUCCUCCGGGUGCUGAGAGUAGGAAAAAGGAAUAAGGGACAAAACGCCAGAUGCAGCUGUGGAGGUAGCCCUUGCCCUUGUUGGGAUCACUAAUCCUUCCUCGGCUAUGAUUGUUGAUUCCUCCCUUGCAGAAGUAGUUGAGCCUUCCUCCCAAAAUCCAUGAAUUUUAUUUCAUGUUUGAACUGCAAACUUUCAUUUGUUCACAUAUUUUGAAACAUUUAUAAAUUCUGUUUUCUACUUUUCAUUUUAAUACUUUGCUCAAGAAGACUUGUAUGAAUUGUUGUUUUGUCUUCUGAAUGUUUAACUUCUUUACCAACUCCGAUAUUCUAAAACUUAUUGUUGGCCCUAAUGAUUAUUUCAUGGGCUUUGUCCGCUCAUCUUCGUUUGAUAGAAUAGAUUUUUUACCAAUUUUUUGCCUGCUCUGCCUCGAGAAGGUUGUGAGUCUUUUAAGCCCUCAUUUGCCCUGGAAUAAUUUUGGUAAACUUUGCCUGCUCAUUCUUGCCUAGCAGAGCAGGUUAAGGCAAACUUUUAACUUGUAUCAUCUCGACAGGCUUCGAGCCUAUUUAGCCUUUACUUGCCUUAGAAAUAAUUUUUGCAAGUUUUGCCUACUCGUCCUCGCUUGACAGAGCAGGUGUUGAGUGUUAGAAAAUGCAUAUUUAUAGAGGAGAAAACCGUCAUUUUACAUUUCAAGUCUUACUAACAACCCUUAUUUUUAUGUAUUUAACCUACUUGUGAUUUAAUUACAUGUGUUUUAUUUUAAUUAAGUAUUUUAUGUAUUUUAGGGGCAUUAUAGUCAUUUCACAAUAAACGAGAAAUCAGAUGGCAAAACGGACAUCACUUUUGAACUCAGGACGGUCGAAAACCUUAGGAGGAGCAUAAAAGGAAAAAUGGCACUGUUCACAUGUACGGUACUAUUCACGUGUACGGUACUGUAUACGUUACUGUUCACAUAGACGGACCGAUGAUGUGGCAUUGACUGAUCGUCCAAACUAAUCCUGUUGGACUAAAAUUCUUAUAUACUGUUGAUGGUGACGUGGCAGCAUAUCAGUGGACGAAAAAUCUCGCAUACGGUGCAUGCAUCACACAGGAUUAUUUUCAACCAAACCGCAUACUGUUCAUCCGCGUGGUCAAACCGUGGAAUGUUGACUGAUGACGUGGCGCAAUCCUGAGCGUCCAAACUAUUUUUAAUCCGAUGGCCAUGAUUUACUCCAUGUAUCUAUAAAAAGGGGGCCUCCCCCCCCUAAUUUGAUAUCUCUGAAUCCAUUUUUGGGAUCCAUUUUCUGUAAUUCCCUCUCCAUCUUGUAUUUUCUUCGUAUUUUAAUAAAUUUUCAUUUUGCCCCUAGUUCAAUUAAGAGUGGCUAAUUUUCUUGCAAGCUUGGGUUGAUGGUAAAGUUUCAACAUGUGUCAUGGGCUUAAUUUGGUAAAUUUAUUUUCUCUUCCCCUCUAGUUUUUGUGGAUGUUUUGACUUCUCGUCGACAAAUAAUAAUAAGCUUGUCUAGAUACCGUCUUGGUUACACCGGCUCUCUAGUAGAAGUUUAUUAUUAUUUGGUACGGUAAGCCCUUAGCACCAUAUUGAUUAGAGCGUGGUUCAUGAGGUGUGGAUUCCCCCCUCAUGAUUUAAUUGACAUUAAUACGGAUUAUUUAGCCCAUGAUGCAUGUUGAUACGGAUCCAGAUACCCAAGUACGUCAAUUUAAUAGAUUUUCUCUUCAAUUUAUUCUCUCAAUUGCAAUUCCAAUUUUAGAAUUUAUUCUCGCCAUUUUAAUUUAAUUAUUAGCAUAUUCCAAAUCAUUUCCACCAUAAAUCCAACUACCCAUUUACAAAAUUAAUUCUAACACAAUUAAAAUCCACCUCCUCGUGGGAUCAACACUCAUCACCAUUGAUCUAUACUACAAUAAAUUCGUGCGCUUGCGAGUACAUUAAAAUUUGCACAACAAAUUGCUUGACAGCAAUUGGAGAAAGGCUCAUGAAGAUAACUGAUGACAAGUGGAAUGAGAUAGACGACAACACAAUUGAUGAUCUACACCUAGCACUUGCAGAAUGAGUGUUAUCCAGUGUGGUGGAGAAAAAAAACAUCUAAGGAAAUAUGAGAUACUCUCACAAAAUUAUACGAGACCAAGUCAUUGCACAACAAGAUCUUCUUAAAAAGAAGGCUCUAUACUCUUCGAAUGGUUGAAUCUACAUCAGUGACCUACCAUAUCAACAUCUUGAACGCUCUAUUUUCACAACUCACAACGUUGGGUCAUAAUAUAGAGGAAAAUGAAGGUGCAGAACUUUAACUUCAAAGUCUACUAGAUUUAUAUGAUCAACUCAUCAUCAAUCUAACAAACAAAAACCAAGUAGACAAUUUAGUCUUCGAUAAUGUUGCAGCCUUCGUAUUAAAUGAGGACAGCAUGUAGAAAAAUAAGAAAGACAAUCAAGCAAGUUCGCAGCAAGCAGAAGCACAAUCAGUGACGAGAGGGAGAUCAACGGAACAUGGUCCUAGUGGGAGUCACAACCAUGGCAUAUCAAAAUCGAGAAAGUAAGAAGAAUGUUAAAUGCUACAAUUAUAGCAAGAAAUGACACGUUAAGAAAGAGUAUUGUAACAACCAGAAGAGAAGAGAUAGUAAAGAUCUUGAAUCAUAAAAUACUCAGGGAUGUGUAGCAAGUACCUCAGAUUAUGGAGAAAUUUUCUAUAGCGAGGCAACAAUUGUUGCAGAAGGCAAAAAGCGGUUAGCUAACGUCUGGCUCAUAGACUAAGGAGCUACCUGGCACGUGACCUCUCAGAGAGAAUAGUUCUAUACAUAUGAACCUAUCUCAGAAGGAUCUGUAUAUAUGGGUGAUGAUCAUGUCUUGGAGGUCGCUGGUAUUGGUAUUAUCAAAAUAAAAAUAUCUAAUAAUACAGUUCACACAAUUGAGGAGGUACAACAUGUCAAAGGUUUUAAAAAGAAUCUAUUGUCUUUAGGACAAACAGAUAGUCAUGGGUGCAAAACUCAUGUGGAAAAUGGGAUCAUGAAGAUUGCUAAAGACGCGUUUGUAAUGAUGAAGAUAAAAAAGAUUGAUGAUAAUCUAUUCAUGCUUAAAAGGGAAAACACUACAGGAAGCUGAUGCAUGUGUUGCGUUAAAUGGAGAAGAGUCGGCAAUGAUGUGACAUCUCAAACUUGGCUAAUGUCGGAACAAGGUUUGAAGAAUCUCUCUGAGUGAAAUUAUCUUCCAGGGCUCAAAUCGAUGAACUUACCGUUUUGCAAGCAUUGUGUUAUAAGUAAGUAGAAUAAAUUGAAGUUCAAUAGAUAUGUUGCCAGAAGUAAAUGCAUUCUACACUUGAUUCAUUUUGAUGUUUAAGAAUCACCAGACAUAUCUAUGGGAGGUGCAAAGUAGAUGGUGACUUCUAUUGAUGAUGAUUUCAGGAGAUAUUGGGUGUAUCCAAUCAAGAAAAAGUCGGAUGUGUUUACAGUGUUUUAAGAAUUCAAAGUGCAGGAUGAACUUGAAUUUAGGAAAAUGAUCAAGUGUUUGAGGACCGAUAAUGGUGAAGAGUAUACAUAUGACAAGUUUCUUGUAUACUAUAAGCAAGAAGGUAUCCAGAGACAAUUCACGGUAGCAUACACUCCUCAACAAAAUGGAGUGGCGGAGUAGAUGAACAUAACUCUUACAGAAAGAAUAAGAGUUAUGUUGAGGACUAUUGGUCUACCCAACUCAUUCUGGGCAGAAGCAUCCAAUUAAAGAAGUCAAAGCGAUAAUUGAAGGUCUCUCUCGACAAAUAGCAUCGUUAUCGACUGCUAAAUCAACAGAGCCACAUGACCAUGACUCAUACUCAAAUCAAGCCAACGCCAUAGGUGUAAUGAGAAAACCAUCUAAUUACAACCCAUACUCCAACACAUAUAACCUUGGAUGGAGAGACCACUCCAAUUUUUCAUGGUCUCAAGGACUCCAACAGAAUGGACCAGCAACUCCACCAAUGCAACGAAUUCCUCAAAAUCCUUAAGCCUCUCAGCCACCAUUCAGACCAUACAAUCAGAACCAGAACUACUCUCAACCUAGACCAUGGGAGGAUUCAUUUCAGAAUCUCAAGAAUCUUACUCACUCUACGAUUGAGCAACAGAACCGCACCAUUGAUGGACUACGAAAUGAAUUGAGAGUGGGUUUCAACUCACAAGCCCAAUCAGUUUCAAGCCUCGAGAAGAUGGUGGGACAACUUGCUUCUUCAGUUCAGACCUUGGCAAUGACCGUUGAGAAAGGUAAGUUUCCAAGUCAACCAGUGCCUAACCCUAAAGGAGUGCAUGAAGCAAGUACCAGUUCACCACAGUAGCAUGGAGAGGUCAAAGCAGUCAUGACCUUACGAAAAGGAAAAGAAGUCGACAACAAAGUGGAGAUGCCGGUGACAAAAGAAAAUCAAAUUGUACCUAUAAAUGUUGACGACUCAUCACCGGAGGAGAAAGAAGAAACCAACCCACGAGAAUACGUUCCCAAAGCUCCAUUUCCUCAGAGGUUAGCGAAAGGAAAAAAGGGAAAAUCUACAGGUGAGAUUCUCGAAAUCUUCAAACAGGUAAGUGUUAACAUCCCUUUACUUGAUGCUAUUAAACAAGUUCCAUCUUAUGCCAAGUUUCUUAAAGACCUUUGUACUAAAAAGAGAAAUAUGCAUGUUCAAAAGAAGCUGCUGUACGGCCAAGGCGGAUGUACGGUACAGCAGNNNNNNNNNNNNNNNNNNNNNNNNNNNNNNNNNNNNNNNNNNNNNNNNNNNNNNNNNNNNNNNNNNNNNNNNNNNNNNNNNNNNNNNNNNNNNNNNNNNNNNNNNNNNNNNNNNNNNNNNNNNNNNNNNNNNNNNNNNNNNNNNNNNNNNNNNNNNNNNNNNNNNNNNNNNNNNNNNNNNNNNNNNNNNNNNNNNNNNNNNNNNNNNNNNNNNNNNNNNNNNNNNNNNNNNNNNNNNNNNNNNNNNNNNNNNNNNNNNNNNNNNNNNNNNNNNNNNNNNNNNNNNNNNNNNNNNNNNNNNNNUGUCCCAGAAAGUGAAAUUCAUAAUAUCCUUUCAUUCUGCCAUGAACAAGCUUGUGGAGGCCAUUUCAAUGCUAAGAAAACCGCGACUAAAGUUUUACAAUGUGGUUUUUAUUGGCCAACUAUAUCUGCUGUACCGUACAUCCGCCUUGGCCGUACAGCAGUUGGACUGGGAGAAUUACACCCAACUCCAGUGGUGUUACAGCUUGCAGUUCGGUCCACGAAAAUACCUCGUGGUAUUGUGGAGGACGUGCUUAUUCAGGUAGACAAGUUUUAUUUUCCUGUUGAUUUUAUUGUAAUUGACACUCAACCAAUACAGGAUUUAAGGAAGCACAUCCCCAUUAUCCUAGGUCGACCUUUCUUGGCAACUGCGGAUGCUCACAUUCAAUGCAGGACUGGAAAUAUGCAGUUGUCCUUCGGCAACAUGACUAUAGAGCUAAACAUUUUCAACAUUGCCAAACAACCUCACAGUGCAGAUGAUGGAAUUGUUGAUGUGGAUUUAAUUGAAGCAUUAGUUGAUGAUACUUUUGUUUCAAACCUUAGUGAUGAUCCUUUACAAACAUGUUUAACUCACUUUGGUUUGGAUUUUGAUAUUGACAGAUCAGUCGAUGAGGUCAACGCCCUGCUUGACUCCGCACCAUCCUUGGACACUAAUAAAUAGAAGUCAAGAGUUGAGCAAUUAGCACCAUCAGAUAAGCAACUCAUUCCAUCAUCAGAAUCACCACCGAAACUCGAGCUCAAAUCAUUGCCCAACACUCUGGAAUAUGCAUUUUUGGGAGAAGAAAGUACUCUGCCGGUAAUCAUCUCAUCAUCCCUAAAUGACGAACAAAAAGGUAAGUUGUUGGAUGUUUUGAAAAAGCAUAAAGGGGCAUUAGGAUGGACCAUAGCAGACAUAAAAGGUAUAAACCCAGUAGACUGCAUGCAUUACAUUCACCUUGAUGAAAAUGCUAAAUCUACUAGGGAAAUGCAACGUCGGUUAAAUCCUAAUAUGAAAGAAGUUGUUAGAACAGAAGUCCUUAAGCUAUUAGACGCAGGUAUCAUUUACCCAAUUUCUAAUAGUUCAUGGGUCAGUCAUGUACAAGUUGUCCCCAAAAAGUCAGGAGUCACAGUAGUUACAAAUGCUGAUAAUGAAUUGAUACCCACUAGAGUAACUACAGGAUGGCGUGUAUGCAUUGAUUAUAGAAAAUUGAAUUCUGUCACACGUAAAGACCAUUUUCCUUUACCAUUUAUUGAUCAAAUGCUUGAUAAAUUAGCAGGUCAUGAAUUUUAUUGCUUUCUAGAUGGCUACUCAGGAUAUAAUCAGAUCCCCAUAGCACCAAAAGAUCAAGAGAAAUUAUAGAAAGUUGAAUUCUGUCACACGUAAAGACCAUUUUCCUUUACUAUUUAUUGAUCAAAUGCUUGAUAGAUUAGCAGGCCAUGAAUUUUAUUGCUUUCUAGAUGGUUAUUCAGGAUAUAAUCAGAUUCCCAUAGCACCAAAAGAUCAAGAGAAGACCACUUUCACUUGUCCUUUUGGCACAUUUGCAUAUAGGAGAAUGCCAUUUGGAUUAUGUAAUGCACCUGCUACAUUUCAACGAUGCAUGUUGAGCAUUUUUUCUGAUAUGGUUGAACGAUUCCUUGAAGUCUUUAUGGAUGAUUUUUCUGUCUUUGGUGACUCAUUUGAUCAAUGUUUACAUCAUCUAACUCUAGUUCUGCAGAGAUGUAUCGAGAAGAAUUUGGUCUUAAAUUGGGAGAAAUGCCAUUUUAUGGUAAACCAAGGUAUUGUUCUCGGUCACAUCAUUUCGAGCCAAGGUAUUGAGGUUGACAAAGCCAAGGUGGAUCUGAUUUCUAAUCUUCCUCCACCUAAAACAGUCAGAGAAGUAAGAUCUUUCCUUGGGCAUGCUGGUUUUUAUAGACGUUUGAUUAAAGAUUUUAGCAAAGUUUCUAGACCCUUAUGCAAUUUACUUGCUAAGGAUGUACCUUUUAUCUUUAAUGAUUCAUGUCUUAUGGCGUUUCAAAAAUUAAAACAGUUGUUGACAUCAUCACUCAUCAUUCAAGCCCCGAACUGGAGCUUACCAUUUGAACUCAUGUGUGAUGCAUCUGAUUAUGCAGUAGGAGCAGUAUUAGGACAAAGAGUUGAUCGAAUUCCCCACGUUAUUUACUAUGCUAGUAUGACAUUAAAUGAUGCACAGUUGAACUAUUCAACUACUGCAAAAGAAAUGGUAGCAGUAGUGUUUGCAUUGGAAAAAUUUUGAUCAUAUCUCAUUGGUUGUAAAAUAAUUAUAUUCACGGAUCAUGCUGCUCUUAAAUAUCUUCUCACAAAGAAAGAUGCAAAAGCCAGACUAAUUCGUUGGGUGUUACUUUUGCAGGAAUUUGACUUGGAAUUCAAAGAUAAAAAAGGGACAGAAAAUGUUGUGGCGGACCACCUCUCUCGUCUCCAUUUUGACACAAUAAUAGAACAAUUACCAUUAAAUGAGUCAUUUCCAGAUGAACAAUUAAUGAAUGUCGAAGUAUUACCUUGGUAUGCUGAUAUAGUUAAUUAUCUUGUUACAGGUAAACUUCCAGAGCAUUGGACCAAGCAAGACAAGAUCAAAUUCUUUGCGGAAAUAAAGAAUUUCUUUUGGGAUGACCCAUAUUUCUGCUGUACCGUACAUCCGCCUUGGCCGUACAGCAGAAAGCCUGUCUUAUGGCGAGACAGAAGCCGAGCAUGCCGGGAUCUACUCGGCCACGAGAAGGCAGCAGAAUCACAAUCCUUGAAGAAUCAAAGGCAUGCAAAGGCUCGUCAAGUCUCAAAGCCUGUCUUAUGGCGAGACAGAAGCCAAGCAUGCCGGGAUCUGUUCGGCCACGAGAAGGCAGCAGAAUCCCAAUCCGUGAAGAAUCAAAGGCAUGCAAAGGCUCGUCAAGUCUCAAAGCCUGUCUUAUGGCGAGACAGAAGCCAAGCAUGCCGGGAUCUGNNNNNNNNNNNNNNNNNNNNNNNNNNNNNNNNNNNNNNNNNNNNNNNNNNNNNNNNNNNNNNNNNNNNNNNNNNNNNNNNNNNNNNNNNNNNNNNNNNNNNNNNNNNNNNNNNNNNNNNNNNNNNNNNNNNNNNNNNNNNNNNNNNNNNNNNNNNNNNNNNNNNNNNNNNNNNNNNNNNNNNNNNNNNNNNNNNNNNNNNNNNNNNNNNNNNNNNNNNNNNNNNNNNNNNAGAAGACUUGAUGAUGCAUUAUGGGCAUAUAGAACGGCUUUCAAGACCCCGAUUGGGAUGUCACCCUACAGGCUAGUGUAUGGAAAAGCCUCCCACCUAUCUGUGGAACUUGAGCAUCGUGCAUAUUGGGCCAUCAAGAAAUUCAACUUUGACAUGCAGCAAGCCAGCUCAAAAAGAAGAUUACAACUGGCAGAACUUGAAGAAAUUCGCAAUGACGCAUACGAAAAUGCCAAGAUUUACAAGCAACGAAUGAAAGUCUUCCAUGAUAAGCAAAUUAUGAGAAAAUCGUUCACUCCAGGUCAGAAAGUGCUUUUAUUCAAUUCUCGCUUGCACCUAUUCCCAGGUAAGUUACGCUCUCGUUGGUCUGGCCCAUUUAUUGUACAUACUGUUUUUCCACAUGGGGCAAUUGAAAUUAAGGACCCAAAGAACGGUGUCACGUUUAAAGUUAAUGGUCAAAGAUUAAAGCCAUAUCUAGAGUACCAACCACAUGGAGAAGACACCGAAAUAAAUUUGAGUGACCCACCAAAUUUGAAUUGAAUUUUUUUUUUCUUUUCGAUUGAUUUGAUUUUUCUUUAUUUCUUUUUAUUAUUAUUCUUUUGCUAAUUGAAAUUAUUUUUGCAUAAGUGUGUUUGUUUAACUAUUAAGUUUUCUCUUAUCAUUUUUAAUCAUGAGUCUCAUACUUAGACCGUUCCUCCUGAACAUUCUUAAACCACUUCAACGUGUCAAAACUCAUCUCAAAAGACAGAUUCAAUUUUGUAAAACACAUCGCAUUUGGGCUCUACAACCACCAGAGUUAGUAACCUAUGUUGAGGGUUUAGAACGCCAACUCCGAGAUAUUGAGAGAAGUGUUUACGACAUCCAGUUGGAGCUUGAGGUAAAUUCAAUAAGAGGACGAUUUUAAUUUUCUUUGUGUGUUUUAAUUUGUUUUUCUAUUUGUGUGCUUUAGUUUAUUACCCCGGUGAAGUGGCGGAUAACGGUACUCCGUGACAAUCAAGUCAGUUACUUCAGUUUCCCAUAAUAACUGAUAUUCUGAGGCGAAAGUAUGGACAGAAACGAGACUCUAGCGAAGCUUCACAAGCGAUUCCCUUCACUCCCUCAGAAUGCCCUCCUUACGAUCUAUAAAGCCCGGUCUGAACGCAUGCGAUUGCUCAUGAGGAAUAACAUACCUGCAGACAUCCGUUGGUUAAUCGAGGCUAAAGUACGAUCGGCAGGUGAGUUACCUCCAAAAUUUAUUGCAUUCAUGCCUGGUUGUGGUAAAGGAAAUUAUGCAAGAAAACGACGAGCUCGAAGAAUUUCUGUUGCUUGUCACAAGUGUGCCAGAAUGAGUUGCGAUAGAAACCCAUGUUCUUUAGGAAUGGUGUCUGAUAACAGAGAAGAUAAGAUUCAAUUCAUUAGGGAUGGCUUGAAUAAGGAGUCAUUGGAUGAUAUCCUUUUGUCUCUUGAAACGCAUCCCAGUGGAUAUGUACAAGGAGCGAUUCUCCAGUUAUGGCCAUUAUUCCAGAAAGAGCAUACACGAUAUAGUCUUGGGAAUCUGACUAUAAACGACCCUGUUUGCCAGUUUAUAAGAAAACUGGAUAGGAAGCCUAUCCUCGACCCAUAGAGGGCGUUCAAGCCGUUUCUGGACGUAAAACCAGAGGAAGAUGUGAGCCACAGUCGCAACUACAUGUAAAUAUCCUUUUACUUUCUGUUAUUUUAUUUCACUAUUGUUUUAUCGUUUGCAUUAUUGCCUUUAAUAAUUUUAUUACUGUUUGCUUUUUCCUUUUUACUGUUUCCUUUUUGACUCGCAAGCCAUGUGCUUCACGCGUUAUUUCACACUGACAUGUUACCUCAUUCACAGCUGUGACCCACUAUCACCAAGACUCUUAAAUGUGAUUUCUUUUGUCAAACACUCACAAAUUGUUUUUGAGAAAUAUUCCAAUGGCAGCUACUCCCAAUAGACAAUUCAAGAACAUUUGUGUGCUUUCUGGAUUUACAUAUGGCAAACAUAAAGAGUUCGUUGAGGCAGCCAUAGAUCUUGGUCGAAGCAUAGCAGCGAGAAAAUUACACUUGGUGUAUGGAGGAGGUAACCGAGGAUUAUCAAAAAUGGUCUCAGAAGCAGCUUUUAUCAAAGGAAGUCAAGUGUUAGGCAUCAUCCCAAGAGCCCUAAAACCUUUGGGCAGUUCGUCUGACUCAUCAACUGGAGAAGAGUUAGUCAUCUCAGGUAUGCAAGAAAGAAUAACUGAAAUGCUUAAUUAUGCUGAUGCUUUUAUUUUCCUUCCAGGAGAUCUUGCAACACUAGAGGCACUUAUCACACUAACAUUUUGGGCCCAUCUAUACAUUCACCAGAAACCCAUCGGUUUGUUAAAUGUCAAUAACUUUUAUGAUGGCUUUAUCGCAUUUCUGCUGUACCGUACAUCCGCCUUGGCCGUACAGCAGGNNNNNNNNNNNNNNNNNNNNNNNNNNNNNNNNNNNNNNNNNNNNNNNNNNNNNNNNNNNNNNNNNNNNNNNNNNNNNNNNNNNNNNNNNNNNNNNNNNNNNNNNNNNNNNNNNNNNNNNNNNNNNNNNNNNNNNNNNNNNNNNNNNNNNNNNNNNNNNNNNNNNNNNNNNNNNNNNNNNNNNNNNNNNNNNNNNNNNNNNNNNNNNNNNNNNNNNNNNNNNNNNNNNNNNNNNNNNNNNNNNNNNNNNNNNNNNNNNNNNNNNNNNNNNNNNNNNNNNNNNNNNNNNNNNNNNNNNNNNNNNNNNNNNNNNNNNNNNNNNNNNNNNNNNNNNNNNNNNNNNNNNNNNNNNNNNNNNNNNNNNNNNNNNNNNNNNNNNNNNNNNNNNNNNNNNNNNNNNNNNNNNNNNNNNNNNNNNNNNNNNNNNNNNNNNNNNNNNNNNNNNNNNNNNNNNNNNNNNNNNNNNNNNNNNNNNNNNNNNNNNNNNNNNNNNNNNNNNNNNNNNNNNNNNNNNNNNNNNNNNNNNNNNNNNNNNNNNNNNNNNNNNNNNNNNNNNNNNNNNNNNNNNNNNNNNNNNNNNNNNNNNNNNNNNNNNNNNNNNNNNNNNNNNNNNNNNNNNNNNNNNNNNNNNNNNNNNNNNNNNNNNNNNNNNNNNNNNNNNNNNNNNNNNNNNNNNNNNNNNNNNNNNNNNNNNNNNNNNNNNNNNNNNNNNNNNNNNNNNNNNNNNNNNNNNNNNNNNNNNNNNNNNNNNNNNNNNNNNNNNNNNNNNNNNNNNNNNNNNNNNNNNNNNNNNNNNNNNNNNNNNNNNNNNNNNNNNNNNNNNNNNNNNNNNNNNNNNNNNNNNNNNNNNNNNNNNNNNNNNNNNNNNNNNNNNNNNNNNNNNNNNNNNNNNNNNNNNNNNNNNNNNNNNNNNNNNNNNNNNNNNNNNNNNNNNNNNNNNNNNNNNNNNNNNNNNNNNNNNNNNNNNNNNNNNNNNNNNNNNNNNNNNNNNNNNNNNNNNNNNNNNNNNNNNNNNNNNNNNNNNNNNNNNNNNNNNNNNNNNNNNNNNNNNNNNNNNNNNNNNNNNNNNNNNNNNNNNNNNNNNNNNNNNNNNNNNNNNNNNNNNNNNNNNNNNNNNNNNNNNNNNNNNNNNNNNNNNNNNNNNNNNNNNNNNNNNNNNNNNNNNNNNNNNNNNNNNNNNNNNNNNNNNNNNNNNNNNNNNNNNNNNNNNNNNNNNNNNNNNNNNNNNNNNNNNNNNNNNNNNNNNNNNNNNNNNNNNNNNNNNNNNNNNNNNNNNNNNNNNNNNNNNNNNNNNNNNNNNNNNNNNNNNNNNNNNNNNNNNNNNNNNNNNNNNNNNNNNNNNNNNNNNNNNNNNNNNNNNNNNNNNNNNNNNNNNNNNNNNNNNNNNNNNNNNNNNNNNNNNNNNNNNNNNNNNNNNNNNNNNNNNNNNNNNNNNNNNNNNNNNNNNNNNNNNNNNNNNNNNNNNNNNNNNNNNNNNNNNNNNNNNNNNNNNNNNNNNNNNNNNNNNNNNNNNNNNNNNNNNNNNNNNNNNNNNNNNNNNNNNNNNNNNNNNNNNNNNNNNNNNNNNNNNNNNNNNNNNNNNNNNNNNNNNNNNNNNNNNNNNNNNNNNNNNNNNNNNNNNNNNNNNNNNNNNNNNNNNNNNNNNNNNNNNNNNNNNNNNNNNNNNNNNNNNNNNNNNNNNNNNNNNNNNNNNNNNNNNNNNNNNNNNNNNNNNNNNNNNNNNNNNNNNNNNNNNNNNNNNNNNNNNNNNNNNNNNNNNNNNNNNNNNNNNNNNNNNNNNNNNNNNNNNNNNNNNNNNNNNNNNNNNNNNNNNNNNNNNNNNNNNNNNNNNNNNNNNNNNNNNNNNNNNNNNNNNNNNNNNNNNNNNNNNNNNNNNNNNNNNNNNNNNNNNNNNNNNNNNNNNNNNNNNNNNNNNNNNNNNNNNNNNNNNNNNNNNNNNNNNNNNNNNNNNNNNNNNNNNNNNNNNNNNNNNNNNNNNNNNNNNNNNNNNNNNNNNNNNNNNNNNNNNNNNNNNNNNNNNNNNNNNNNNNNNNNNNNNNNNNNNNNNNNNNNNNNNNNNNNNNNNNNNNNNNNNNNNNNNNNNNNNNNNNNNNNNNNNNNNNNNNNNNNNNNNNNNNNNNNNNNNNNNNNUUGGAUUAAAUAGAUUUUACAAUUAAUUAAAUAUAUCUCAUGUAUCAAGUAAUAUUGAAAUUACCUUAAAAUUUUAUUUAAAUGAUAUAUAUAUAUAUAUUAAUUAACAUUAUGUUUUUAUUUAUUAUAAAAUUUAUAUUAAUAUAUAAAAUAUAUGUAAUAGAUUGUAAAAUAUUAAAAUAUUUUUUUAAUAUUGAAAUUAUUUUAGAAUUUAUAUUAUUAUAUUUAUUUUAAUAUCGUAUCUCCAUUUAUUAUAAAAUAUUGGAGUCAAUUUUUUUUUGAAUUAAUAGAAUCAAAGUAUAUUAUGGUCAAAAGAGAGUUUUGGUAUCUUUUAUUAAAAAGUUAGUGGUCUUCAUGAUUAUUACUCCAAACUUUAGGGGUGUCAGUGUCUUUUUCCCUAAUUAUUAUAGUAAUAUAAAUUUUUUUUUUCAUAUUGAUCCUUAACAAAAUUUUGUAUAACCUUUGUCGAAACAACAGUUAAUAUUCAUAUUAAUUUAGAAACAUUGAAUUUUGUAUUAAAAAAUUACUCAAGUUAAAAUAAUGUGGUGAGAAUUUUUAUAGUAACUAAAAUUUCUGCCAAACAUAAAAUUUAAACAGAAAUAAUAUUUUCUUUUUACACAGCACCUCUUAAGUUUGGGGGGAUUGUGUCAGUGUAUAAUGUGAUUGUAAGUGCAUGUGUUUGUGUUGUGUGAAUCUAUGUUAUCUAGUAUUUGUGUAUGGAUUGGAUAAUCUAAUGAAGAUAAAUUGAGUGUCAUUUAAUAAUUGUAAUUGCUAAGUAAGAACAGUGUAUAGAUGAAGGUUGAAUUUCUGUCUUGACAAUGAAGUUUUGAUUGAGUUUUAUAAGUAUGUUGUAGUAGAACCAUGAAAACAUAAAAAAGGUAGAAAAUAUCUCAAGUUUGGGAGGAAACUUUUUGUUGAACUAUGCCUGUUAUGAAAUAAAUUCCGCUCCAAUGGCUUAAGUUGCUGAGUAACCAGAGCUAAGUAUGCACCAUAUAUACAUACUUAAGUCAAAAAAACAACAAGAGCUAUGACCAUUGUUGAGUGUUAGAAAAUGCAUAUUUAUAAAGGAGAAAACCGUCAUUUUACAUUUCAAGUCUUAUUAACAACCCUUACUUUUAUGUAUUUAACCUUCUUGUGAUUUAAUUACAUGUGUUUUAUUUUAAUUAAGUAUUUUAUGUAUUUUAGGGGCAUUAUAGUCAUUUCACAAUAAACGAGAAAUCAGAUGGCAAAACGGACAUCACUUUUGAACUCAGGAUGGUCGAAAACCUUAGGAGGAGUAUAAAAGGAAAAAUGACACUGUUCACAUGUACGGUAUUGUAUACGUUACUGUUCACGACACUGUUCACAUAGACGGACCAAUGACGUGGCAUUGAUUGAUGAGGUGUCACGAUCCUGUUGGAUGUGGCGCAAUCCUGAGCGUCCAAACUGUUUUUAAUCCGAUGGCCAUGAUUUACUCCAUGUAUCUAUAAAAAGGGGGCCUCUCCCCCCUAAUUUGAUAUCUCUGAAUCCAUUUUUGGGAUCCAUUUUCUGUAAUUCCCUCUCCAUCUUGUAUUUUCUUUGUAUUUUAAUAAAUUUUCAUUUUGCCCCUAGUUCAAUUAAGAGUGGCUAAUUUUCUUGCAAGCUUGGGUUGAAGGUAAAGUUUCAACAUGUGUCAUGGGCUUAAUUUGGUAAAUUUAUUUUCUCUUCCCCUCUAAUUUUUGUGGAUGUUUUGACUUCUCGUCGACAAAUAAUAAUAAUCUUGUUUAGUACCGCCUUGGUUUCACCGGCCCCCUAGUACAAGGUUAUUAUUAUUUGGCACGAUAAGCCCUUAGCACCAUAUUGAUUAGAGCGUGGUUCAUGAGGUGUGGAUCCCCCCCUCAUGAUUUAAUUGGCAUUAAUACGGAUUAUUUAGCCCAUGAUGCAUGUUGAUACGGAUCCAGAUACCCAAGUACGUUAAUUUAAUAGAUUUUCUCUUCAAUUUAUUCUUUCCAUUGCAAUUCCAAUUUUAGAAUUUAUUCUUGUCAUUUUAAUUUAAGUAUUAGCAUAUUCCAAAUCAUUUCCACCAUAAAUCCAACUACCCAUUUACAAAAUUAAUUCUAUAUAUAAUUAAAAUCCACCUCCUCGUGGGAUCGACACUCGUCACCAUUAGUCUAUACUACAACAAAUUCGUGCGCUUGCGAGUACAUUAAAAUUUGCACAACAGCAGGUUCUGGCAAACAUUUGACUCGCCUCGCCUCGACCAGGCUUUGAGACAUUUGACCUUUUAUUUGCCUUAGAAAUAAUUUGGUAAGACAUGUCUGAAUGGAAUUCAUCACCUUAUCAUUACUGAAUGCUUAAAUAGUUACAAAAAAGUGGAAAACAUAAGCAUGUGGUAACUAUUACUACAUUAAACAUAAACAACUCAAUUGAAAUAUUAUAUGAAAUGGCUUGCUUGUUGGAAAUAUUUCCUUAAGUGCUCCGUGUUCCAUGAUUUCUUUACUUCUCGACCGUUUGGGUAUGCCAAUUUGUAAACUCCUGGACCAGUUAAACGCAUUACCCUGUACUGGCCUUCCUAAUUAGAGCCAAAGACGCCUUGGCUGGGAUAUCUCGUGCUCUAAUUCACUUUCCUAAGUAUCCAGUCCCUGGCUCGGAAUUAGCUCAUGUGCACGUUCUGGUUAUAGUAGCGCACGACCCUAUGCUGAUAUUCAAUCGUCCUCUGCGAGGCCUUUUCUCUUUUCUCAUCUAACAGGUCAAGAUACAGACACAUCUGCUUGUCAUUCUGUUCCCAUCAAAGUACUCAGUUUGGUGUGUUCCUACUCCAAUUUCUGUUUGGACCACAACUUCAUGGCCAAAGGCCAGGGCAAAUGAGGUUUCUGCUGUUGCGGUUUUGUGGGUUGUCCGACAAGCCCAUAACACACCAGGCAACUCAUCGACCCACGCUCCAUUCUUUUCCCCCAAUCUAGUUUUCAAAAGCUUUUUUAUGACCUUAUUAGCAGUCUCUAUCUACCAAUUUGAUUGGGGAUGAGUCGAAGAGCAGAAUUUCAGCUCAACACCCAAAUUUUGGCAAAAUUCCCUAAAGUUGUGGUUGUCAAAUUGCCUUCCAUUAUCUGUUAUGAGUAUAUAAGAGAUCCUAUAUCUACUUAUAAUAUUCCUCCAGAUGAACUUGGUUUUUCUUUUCCAUGAUCUGGCUUAGAGCUUAAACCUCUACCCACUUUGUAAAAUAAUCUAUCGCCACAGUAGCAUGUGUAGCAACUCCUCGUCCUUUGGGUAGGAGGCCAAUUAGGUCAACCCCCACUGUGCAAAAGGCCAUGGAGAGGACAUAACAGUAAGUUUCUCUAGAGGUUGAGUAGGGACAUUUGAGAAACUUUGGCAACUGCUGGUCAUUUCCCUUGCGUUCUGGUGCAUGGUCGGCUAGAAAUAUCUUUGCCUUAACACUUUAAAUGCCAAAAUUCUUGCUCUGGAGUGGUUACCACAUAUUUCUUCAUGUAUUUCUCGUAGCACAUAGUUUGCCUCUUCAUCAUCCAAACACUGCAAAAAAGGUAAGGUAAACCCUCGGCAGUAAAGUAUCUUAUCUAGCAGCGUAUACCUAGCCGUUCGACACUUUAGUUUUCUCACUUGCUUCAUAUCUAUCGGUAAGCUUCUGUCAUGGAUAUAUGAAUAAUUGGAUCCAUCCGGGACCCUUGAGCAUCCACCCUUAUUAUUUCUGCUUCUUACUCGAUGUUUGGAAAAGUUUUGACCUUCAUUGGGACUGACAUUGGCAGUUUUAAAUCUGCUGUUGCAGUCAUUCUAGCUAACAUAUUUGCUCGGUAAUUCUCUAUUCUUGAUAUCUACUUUAUCUCUAACCCCUGGAAUAUUCCGACCAUUUGUUUAGCCCUCCUUAAAUACAGCUCCAUUUUUUUGCCUCUUGCUUAGAAGUGUUCGUUAAGCUGAUUACAGACCAGUUGAGAAUUUGUUCAAAUCUCAAUUCUUUCAGCUCGUAAGGCAUGCGCUAGCUUAAGCCCAGUUAUGAAAGCUUCGUACUCUACUUGGUUGUUGGUCACCUGAAAUUCAAAUUUUACAGCAUAAGAAAUUUCGACCCCUUCUGAACUGCGUAUAACUAUUCCUGCUCCGGCCCCCUGCUCGUUGCAUAACCCGUCAAUCAUAAUCAACCAGACCUCGAUCGGCUCUGCCUCUCUAACUGAUUAUCCUUCGCAAGUUCUCUCACCCGGCUCGGUGCAUUCUGCCACGAAGUCAGCCAAGGUUUGUACUUUGAUGGCUGCUUAGGGUUGAUAGGUUAUAUCAAACUCACUCAACUCUACUGACCAUUUAAGCAAGCGGCCAAACGCCUCUGGCUUCAAGAGUGCUUGUUGAAGAGGCUGGUCAGUCAUUAUGAUCACUGGAUGUGCCUAGAAGUACGACCUCAGCUUGUGUGUUGCUGUUACUAAAGCCAAUGCCCAUUUCUCCAUCGUCGGGUAUCUGGUCUCUGCAUCUACUAAGGCUUUGCUAGUAUAAUACAUAGGAUGUUGUAUUCUUUCUUCUUCUCUCACGAACACUGAGCUGGUAGCCCAUUUCGAAACAGCUAAGUAUAAAUAAAACAAAUCACUUUCCCACGAUGUAGACAAUAAUGGGGCUUUAGUAAGGCAUUCUUUCAACUGCCCAAAUGGUUCCUCGCAUUCUUCUGACCACUCUAUCUUUCCCCCCUUUCUCAUAACCUAGAAGAAUGCGUGACAUUUAUCUGUUGCCCCUGAUAUGAAUCGAUUCAGUGCUGCUUGCUUUCUCGUAAGGCUUUGCACCUCUUUGAUUGUCCGAGGAGAUUUCAUCUCUGUUAUUGCGCUUAUAUGCUCUGGGUUAGCUUUAAUUCCCCGAUGGCUCACUAUAAAUCCCAUGAACUUUUCUGAGCAUACCCUGAAUGCACAUAUCUUUGGGUUAAGUUUCAUUAUGUAUCUCCUCAGUAAUUCGAAGGUUUCUUCUAAAUGCAGUAUGUGUUCCAUCGGCUCUUUAGACUUUGUAAUCAUAUCAUCCACGUACACCUCCAUAGUACACCUGAUAUAUGGCCCCUGCAUUUUUCAGACCAAAUGGCAUUUUUCUGUAACAAAACAAACUCAUGUUAGUAAUAAAUGCAGUGCUCUCCUUUUCCUACUCAUCCAUAUGUAUUUAAUUGUAUCCGGAGAGUACGUCUAUUAAAGCUAAGCAAGGUGUGGCCGGCUAUUGAGUCAACUAGCUGCUCUAUCUUUGGCAAAAGGAAGCUAUCUUUUGGACAUGCCUUGUUGAAAUCCGUGAAGUCCACACAUAUUAUCCAUUUUCCAUUUGCUAUCUUCACUAGCACUACAUUAGAAAUCCACUCCGGCUAUCUGGCUUUCCUUAUGAAUCAUACUCGUAGUAACUUCUCUACUUCAAUAUUUAUGGCUUCAUACUUUUCCUGAUUGAAGCAUCCUUUUUUUUUCUGUUUCACUGGCCUUGCCCAUUUCCUGAUUGCUAACUUAUGACAAGCGAUCUUUGGAUUAAUUCCCGGUAAAUCUUCUGUUAACAUAAAUAUUUCUUUAUUAUUGAUUUUGAUGAUAACAAACUUGAUUAAGAUUGAUUAAUCUUUUAAAAGCUCAAAAUAGUUUUCAUUGCUUUUAAAUCAUCAUUUUGACUUUAUAAAGGCUUUAUAUUCUAUGAAAAUAUUUUUGGUUAUUCUCAUGUUAAUGGUUUCAAUUGAAAAGCUUUGAGAUUUUUUAUAAUAACAAGUAUUGCUUAAAAUCCUGAAAAUAGACCUAAUUGACAAGUUUUAUAAAGUUUUGGGUUAUAGUAUAAUUUUAUAAAGUUUUAGGGUCAAAUGAUAAUUUUAUAAAAAUAGUUCACUGUAGCAGUUACUAUAGUUAACGACGAUCUGACAAUUUGAAAAUUCAGCCCAACGGUCAUAUUGACCAGUCAAACAACGAUCCGACAUCUAGUUAACGGCGAUCCGACAGUGAGCAGAAAGUCAAUAACGGCUAGUUUUCAGCUCCAACUAUAAAUAAGCUCAUUCAAAUUCAAACAAGGUUGAUCACAACACGACCAUUGAGCUUAUAUUCGAGAAUACAAUCUUCAUAGAGCUUUAAAACACAUUCUUACUUCAUCUAUUCACACAUUGGGCAUUGAUUUGUAAUCUUAAAUAUUGUGUGAGAGAAAAGCAAUUUUUUAUCUUUUACUUUUAAGUGAUUGUAAGUGUUGGGAUACACUUGGGUUAAGAGAUUGGGGAUAAUCUCUUGUUGUAAAGGUUCAUUGAUACCUUGGAAGUCAAGUGUAAGCCUUUGAAGCCUUAGAGGCUUGCUUAGUGAAAUCCUCAAGCCCAGAAAGCUUGGAGGCGUGGACGUAGGAGAUGUUGGCUGAACCACAUAAAAAUCUUCGUGUUUGAAUCUCUCUUUCCUUAUCUUUUUAUAUUGUAAUGGAUUUAAUUAUUAUUCCAUUAAAUUCAUUCUAGAUUUGCAUGAUAAUUUGUUUUAGAAUCAAAUAAUUUUUAGAAUCUCAAUUCACCCCCCUCUUGGGUUGCACACUUGUAUUUCAUCUUCGUGUGACCAGGCGAACAUGUCAACAUAAGACCUUAAACACUUUAUCUGCUCAUCCCUCAAGCUUCGGCUUAGAUUAGAUUUAAUUUUCAUAGUUCUACUCAAGUCAUCAUGUUUCAUUACCACCUCCUCUAAGGUUUCAACCGGUUCCUGCCGACUCUUCUUGAAAUCUCCUCGGUUGUCGAAUCAUGUAACUUGUAAGGUUUCCUUGGCAGCUGUGGUGUAGCGGCUCCUAAACAUCAUCUGGUCGCCCUUUACUACGCUUACUACCACAUCCACCAACCAGCCCAACUCCGAGCAAGAAGAAAAAGCAGCCAAUUGUCCCACCACAAGGCUCACCCAAGGACCGCUUGAGAAGUUCUUCCAAAAAGCAGUAAACCUUUCAGCUAGAGCUGCAACAACAUAUUCAACAACAUGGGAGUAUGGGCCAGCUCACCUUCUUUUUUUUUUUCCAAAUUAUGAAACUUUCCUUUUAUUUAUUUGUUUUUUAUUGAUCAAGUUGCAUUUUUUUGCUUGUUAAUGUAUGCGUGUUUGUUUUGGUUUUAAUUUGUGUGCUUGUGAAGACACAACCCCUCUCAAGUUUGGGGGGUGUGUUAUUAUGUAUUAUGUUUCUAAAGUCCAUGUGUUUGUGUUGUGUGUUAUGUGAAGCUCUGUUAUCUAUUAUUUGCAUGUGGAUUUGAAAACCUAAUAAAGAUAAAUUGAGUGUCAUUUAGUAAUUGGGAAUGCCAAGUAGGGAUAGUUAUAGAUAGAAGUUGAAAGUCAAUCUCAACACUUAGACUUUGGUUGAGUUUCAUGAGUAUAUUGCAGCAGAGCAAGGAAAACCAAAAAGGGUAGAAAAUAUCUCAAGUUUGGGAAAAAGUUUUGUUGAACUAUACCUAUUAUGAAAUAAAUUCUGCUCCAAUGGGGUAAGUUACUGAGUAACUAGGGCUGAGUAUGCACCUCAUAUGCAGACUUGACUCAAAAUGCAAUGAGAGCUAUGAGCAGUGCUGCAGUAACUAUUGAAAAAAAAAUAUGAUGAAGGAAUGAAAAACAAAGGGGUCCACUGCCUAGGAUACUGAGUAACCAAGUCUAUUCAUGAGCUUAAUGUUCAACCUUGAGUUAAAGGUGUCCAAAGGUAAGACCUAGAUAUAGAAUCUUGGAUGUGUUUGUUGUGGCAAAUUUGACAUGUGCUUUGAGUGAGUAAUUGGGUGUCAUCAUUACAAGUGAUAGGCAUUCGCAUGAAACCUCAAUGUUGCAUUGAAGGGUUUGAUUCAAUAAUGAAAAAAAAAACUGAGAAUGAUUGUUGUAGCACAAUGUGAAUUUAUUGCAAGACUUUUGUCUCCCCCACAAGAUGGAUUUGGUUAUAUUGUUUUAUAUCUGUAAAAUGCAUUUGAUGCUUGAGUGAUGUUGCAACAUCUCUGAGACUUGAUUAAAGUACACACACACACUUUGGAUAGAAUAAUGCCUAAGUCAAGAGCUGAACUACUAUGGCAAUUUUACAUGAUUGAAGGUGUGAUCUAAGGGUUGAAGAAUCCUUGCAAAAUUUGAUGAUAGAGCUAAGUUAUUUGUUGCAUUAUUGUAUGAUUAAAAUGUGAGUGUUGUUGUCAUUACUUGAGAACAAGUAAUGGUUUAAGUUUGGGGGUGUGAUAACUCUAUGAAAUGAGAGUUAUCAUGCUACUUUUGAGCUUAAAUCAAGAUUACUUAGAGAGUAAUUGAUGUGUUUUAGUGCAUUUUAAUGAUAGUUUACAUUAACAUUCAUUUUAGUUUAAGUUUAAUAAAGUGCGCUUGAUUUCGAAUAAUUGUGUGCUUAAAACAUAUGAAUAAUUGUAGAUGACCAGGACUUUAAAUUUCAUGGGAAGGAUAUUGUAGCAAUGGGCUUACAAAAAGGACAAAAGAAUAUAGCUAUAGAAGAAUUGAAGUAAAUCUGGAAUAGUGCAGAUGUUGUAGCCAUUGCUGUAACAACCGAUGUUGUAGCAAUUCUAAAACAACGACAGAAAAAAUCCCGCGUAAAGCAAUUAACAGAUUGUGACAUGUAGUUUCCUAAUUGGGAAAAUACAAGCUUGGGAUCUCCGUUUACCCUAAUUUUGAGCUAUAAAAUAGGCACACAUGCAAAAGAAAAGUAGGUCGUCAACCAAGAUCACAAAUCAAAAAGAAAACAAAGGAAAAACAUAUUUCAAGAACAAGAAUCAAGGCUGCACCGAUGGAGAAUUUACGGGAAUCAAUUAGAAUUCAAUCUUUCUUAUUCUUCUUGUGAUUUCUUGUUUCUUUUUUUAUAUGAGAAUGUAUUUGCCGGUCGAAUCUCUACUGUUUAGCUUUCUUUUGCAAAUCAUGAACUAAUAUUAUUUGUGGUUGAGUGAUAAAUAAAUUUAAUGGCUCAUUGACUUAAUUUAUAUGUUGUUGCAUGUUUUGCUAUAGCAUUUUGUUGUGAUAGUAUUUAUUUGAAGUCAUUAUUUCGGCUGACCACCCAUUUAAUAAUACAAACUAGGAAAGAGCCACAAAAUGGCAUAUCUAAGUGAAACACAUCAGAACAAUACUUGGUUUUAGAUUGGGUUUCCUGGGUUGAGUGUAAUGUGAGCUCAAAAAGGUCAUGCCUAAUCUAAAAUUAGUGAUGAACUAGAUAUAAGGAUUUACCUUGUAGGGUAAAUAAAACCCAAACGUGUAAUGUUAUAUCUUAUGUUGGGCAUAAUUAUUGGUCACUAUUAGGUUGUAUAUAGAUAUAAGACAUCCAAUAUGCGACAGCUAAGGAUACAUGAGGAUUCUGCCUAAUGCUGUAGCAGAUUCUGCAGCAACUGAACUGAAAUUUACAAGAAAUAGUCAAAUUUGUUAAGAGAGUUAAUCACUCAACUACUUCAUUCCCAUUGAUUUUAUCUUUGUGUUUGACGUGAGAGUUUUCUUUUCUGCAUAUUUACUUAUUGCAUUUUAUUAGGUAGUUUAUUAGUUUAAUUGUUCAAUCUAUUUUCAAUUCGAGCAAAAUUAUUAGGGUUGCUUUAGUAAUUUCCAUAACAUCAAUCCAUGUGGAUACGAUCUUCAAUACUUAUCAUUAUAUUACUUAUUGUGUACACUUGCACAUUGGCACCCAUAGCAUUUGAAUUUAUACCAACAAGUUUUUGGUGCCGUUGCCGGAUAUUGAUUGUUUAUUGAAAUUUGUGAAUUUAAUCUAAAGAGUGUUAAACCUUGAUUUUAUUUUAAUUGGCUUAUUUUGUUGAUAGGAAACUCUUGCAUGUGCAAGUACAAACCUGUUGAGUUUUAAUUUGAUCCAGAGAAUGAAAGAACUGCUGAGAGAUUAAGAAAAGAGCAUAAAAAUUCAAAAGCUGCUAUAGCAAUAGAUGACUUAGAAGAUGUGGAAAACUUGAACUCUAUAAGGGAAAUACAACCAGUUAAUAGUCGAAAAGGUCAUAAUAGACAAAAUGAUCAGGGACAAUCAGAAAACAACAUCAUAUACAUGGCAGACAAUAAUGAUAGAGCCAUUAAAGACUAUGUCGCGGUGACCCCUCAAGUUAUGCAUCCUGGAAUUGUUAGACCUGAAGUGCAAGCUGUUAAUUUCGAACUCAAACCAGUGAUGUUUUUUAUGUUGCAAACAGUGGGGCAAAUUAAUGGGUUACCUUUAGCAGACCCUCAUCUUCACCUCAAACUUUUCUUGGAGGUAAGUGAUGCAUUUAAAAUUGCUGGAGCAUCAUAGGAUGCAUUAAGACUCAGAGGUUUCUCGUAUUCAUUGAGAGAUUGGGCACGAACAUAGUUGAACUUUUUACCGCUAUGGAAUUAUUUGGCUGGAGCAUUUAAAAUUGCUGGAGCAUCACAACAUGGAAUGAUUUGGCUGACAAAUUUUUGAUGAAGCACUUUCCACCAACCAAGAAUGCGAAAUUGAGGAAUGAAAUAACAUUUUUCCAUUAACUUGAGGAUGAAAGUUUGUACGACGCAUGGGAAAGAUUUAAGGAAUUACUCAGAAAAUGUCAUCAUCAUGGUAUUCCUUGUUGUAUACAAAUAGAAACUUUCUACAAUGGGCUGAAUCCAAGUACUAGAUUAAUGGUUGAUACUUUAGUAAACAGAGCUUUAUUGUUUAAAUCCUACAAUGAAGCUUACAAAAUUUUGGAAAGAAUUGCCAACGACAAUUAUCAAUGGCCAUCAAGUAGAUAAAUUGUAAUAAGGGGAGCAACAGGAGCCCAUAAUGUAGAUGCCUUUACAGCAUUAUCAGCCCAAGUAAUUUCACUGACAAACAUUGUAAAAGCCAUGACCAAUGAUCUAGCAACUAUCCAAUAAGUUGUUCAGGUUUCUUGUGUUUAUUGUGGAGAGAGGCACUUAUUUGAUAAUUGUCCUGGAAAUUCAGCUUCAGUCAAUUAUGUAGGCAAUUAUAAUAGACAACAUCAGAGUAAUCCAUACUCAAACACCUAUAAUCUCGGAUAGAGGCAACACCCAAAUUUCUUAUGGAGUAACUAGAAUCAACCUGUUACAACAUCAAAUAGAUAGAACAGACCUGCACAGCCACUAGGAUUUCAAUAGCAAAAUCACAAACAAAGAACCACCAACAAUGAUCAACUCUGUUUUCUUGAAGCUUUGCUCAAGGAAUAUAUUGUGAAGAAUGAAGCAGAUGUCUAAAGUCAAGCUGUAACUUUGAGGAAUCUAAAAAAUUAGAUUGGACAACUUGCUACAAUAUUAAGUAACAGACCUCAGGACAGUCUACCUAGCAACAUAGAAGAUCCAAGAAGUGGAGGCAAAGAACAUUGCAAUGUGAUUAACUUAAGGUCUGGAAAAGAUGUUGAUAGUCGUAUUGGUUUCACAAGGAAAAUGAUGGAACAUAACUUAACCCAAGAGGAAAAACAAGUUAAAGAAGAGCUAUAACAGCCCAAUUUCCAACAUAUUGGUGAGAGUAGUCACGCUGCAGCAACUACAUAAAGAAGUAAUUUAGAGUUUGUUGAAGAAGAAGUUGCAGCACCAACAACAACAAACUAGACUAGAUCAAAAGAACAGCAACAUGCACUACUUGUUGCAGCCCAACAGUUUAGAUACCCACCACCAUUUCUACAAAGAUUUCAGAAGCAGAAAUAAGAUAAGCAAAUCAGCAAAUUUCUAGAAGUGUUAAAACAGUUGCAUAUUAACCUUCCUUUUGUGGAAGCAUUAGAACAAAUGCCAAAUUAUAUGAUAUUUUUUAAGGAUACUUAGCAAGGAAAAGAAUGCUUGGAGAAUUUAAAAUUAUUGCUCUAACACAAGAAUGCAGCCACAUGCUUCAAAGUAAAAUUCCUCAAAAAUUGAAAGAUCUAAGGAGCUUUACAAAAUCAUGUUCUAUUGGAACUAGGUAUAAUGGUAGAGCACUUUGUGAUUUAGAGGCAAGUAUCAAUGUCAUGCCCUUAUCCGUGUUCAAGCAAUUGGGAGUGGGUGAAUGCAGACCAACAACAGUAACUCUACAGCUGACAGACAUACCUCAUACAUAUCCAGAAGGAAAAAUUAAAGAUGUGUUAGUAAAAAUGGAUAAAUUUAUUUUUCCAGUGGACUUCAUCGUGCUGGACUUUGAAGUAGACAAAUAAGUGUCAUUUAUUCUUAGUAGACCUUUCUUAACCACUGGAAAUACCCUUAUUGAUGUGCAAAAAAAAAUUGACCACAAGGGUGAACGAUCAACAAGUCGCAUUCAAUGUGCUAGAUGCUAUGAAGAAUCUCGAUGAGAUUAAAAAUUAUAAUUUCAUCAGUGUUGUAGACAUUGCUGUGACAAAAAGAUUAAAUGUUGUUGAAGCAAAGAAAAGAUCAGAGCUGCUAACUUUCAACAGCUUGAAGAAGAGGAUACUGCAAUAGCACACAUAGUAUAGAUAGAGGAAAAGCAACCUAUAACGCAUGACAGACCUUUUGAACCUCUAGACCGCUCAAAAAGAUAAGUAAAACCAAUUGUACCAUCUGUUGAAUCACCCCUUAUUUUAAAAUUGAAAAUCUUACCUUCACAUUUAAAAUAUAUUUAUCUUGAUAAAAACAAUACACUCCCCGUAAUCAUUUCUUCGUUUUUUAAUACAGGUCAAGCGAACAGCCUAGUUAAAGUAUUAGGGAGAUACAAGAAAGCUAUUGGAUAGACCAUAACAGAUAUAAAGGGAAUCAGCCCAACAUAUGCAUGCACACAAUUUUACUGGAAGAUUGUUACAGCAAUUCAGUAGAACAACAGAGGUGAUUAAACUCAAUCAUGAAGGAAGUUGUGAAGAAGGAGAUCAUAAAAUGGUUUGAUGCUGGGAUCAUCUACCCAAUAUCCGACAGUUCAUAAGUGAGUCUAGUGCAGUGUGUUUCAAAGAAGGAUGGUGUAACUGUUGUAGCAAAUGAAAAGAAUGAACUCAUCCGUACAAGAACAGUGACUAUAUGGAGAGUUUGUAUGGAUUAUAGGAAGCUGAAUAAAGCCAUAAAAAAUAACCACUUUCCAUUGCCCUUCAUAGAUCAAAUACUGGACAGAUUUGCUGGAAAAGAAUACUACUGUUUCUUAUAUGGUUACUCAGGAUACAACCAAAUUGUUAUAGCACCAGAAGAUCAAGAGAAGACAACAUUCACUUAUCCUUAUGGAACUUUUACUUUUAUGAGGAUGUCAUUUGGCUUGUACAAUGCUCCAGCAACUUUUCAGAGAUAUAUGAUGUCCAUUUUUUCAGACAUGGUUGAGCAAACACUAAAAGUAUUCAUGGUUGACUUCUCGGUUUUUGGAGAAAUAUAUGAUGAUUGCUUGCAUACUUUAGGAAAUGUGCUUAAAAGAUGUGAAGAUACUAAUUUGGUACUAAAUUGGGAAAAAUGUCAUUGUAUGGUAUAAGAAGGUGUAUUUUUAGGACAUAGAGUUUCUAAGAAGAUGAUAGAAGUAGACAAGGUAAAAAUAGAAGUGACAGAUAAACUCCCACCCCCAACUUCAGUCAAAAGAAUUAAGAGUUUUCUAGGUCAUACUGGGUUUUACAGAAGAUUCAUCAAAGACUUUUCUAAAAUAGCUAAACCUUUAUGCACACUGCUGGAGCAUAAUAGACCUUUUAACUUUGGUGAGGAUUGCUUAAAGGCUUUUGUGAAUUAAAGAAAGCUUUUGUUACAGCACAUGUUGUCAUAGCACCAAAUUGGAGUUUACCUUUCAAACUAAUGUGUGAUGCCGUGACCACUCAGUUGGAGCAGUGCUAGGACAAAAGAAAGAAUAAGAUUUUUCACUCCAUUUACUAUGCUAGCAAAACUCGAGCAGAUGCUCAUAUCAAUUAUACAACCACUGAAAAGGAAUUGUUAGCAAUGGUCUUUGCAUUUGACAAAUUCAAAGCUUACUUGGUGGGCACAAAGGUCACAGUCUACACAGACCAUGCAACAAUAAAAUAUUUAAUUGCAAAGAAAGCUACCAAACCAAAGUUGAUAAAGUGGAUUCUUUUGCUACAAGAAUUUGAUUUAGAAAUCAAUGAUAGAAAAGGGACUGAGAAUCAAGUAGCAGACCAUCUGUCCAGGUUGGAAGUAUAUGCAAGCAUAUUAACCAAGUAAGACAUCACAGAAACAUUUCCUAAUGAACAACUCUAAUGCUACAGCAUACACAGAUGCUGCAGCAUUCUAGACUCCAAUGGUAUGUAGAUUUUGUAAAUUAUUUGGUAAGUGGACUGUUACCACCUGACUUAAAUUAUCAGCAAAAGAAGAUAUUCUUCCAUGAUAUUAAAAGUUAUCAGUGGGAUGAACCGUAUCUAUACAAGAUGUAUUCAGACCAAGUGAUCAGAAGGUGUGUAUCAGAUAAAGAAAUUCCACACAUAAUGUAUUCAUGCCAUGCUGUAACUUAUGGAGGACAUUUUGGAGGCCAUAGAACAGCAGCCAAAAUCCUACAAUCAGGUUAUUUCUGGCCGUCCAUUUUUAAAUAUGCUUAUGAGUUUGUUAAAUGUUGUGACAGGUGCUAAAGAACAGAGAACAUAUCUUAAAAACAUGAAAUGUCAUUGAAAAAUACGUUGGAGGUGAGCUCUUUGAUAAAUAGAGGAUAAACUUUAUAGGUCCAUUCCCACCACCCCUUAGAAACUUAUAUAUUCUAAUUGUGGUAGAUUAUGUGUCCGAAUGGGUGGAAGCUAUAUCAUUACCAACAAAUGAUGCCAAAGCAGUGGUAAAAUUUCUUCACAAAAAUAUCUUCUCAAUGUUCGAGACUCCAAAGGAAAUCAUUAGUGAUGAAGGCACUCAAUUUUGCAAUAGGAUGUUUGCGGCAGUAUUGGCUAAGUAUGGAAUUAAACACAAAAUUGCUACAGCAUAUCAUCCACAAUCCAAUGGUCAAGCAGAAGUAUCUAAUCGAGAGAAAAAAAGGGUUUUGAAGGAAGUGGUGAA